Molecule: long non-coding RNA, 79141 nt
Filed under: Fragaria vesca (wild strawberry)
Lineage: Eukaryota; Viridiplantae; Streptophyta; Magnoliopsida; Rosales; Rosaceae
Description: long non-coding RNA (FVES_LNC002961)
Source: RNAcentral
GAUUGAAUAGUCGUUAGAAUUGGGACACCAGAAUGAAGAUUGCACUUGAUGCUGCCAGAGGACUUGCUUACCUACACGAGUUCUGCUUGGAGUCCAAGUCCACCAUCGGCGUCGAGUUCACCAUCAGAACUCUUCAGGCAACUCCUCUUCUUAUUGUUCUUCAGUUUCGGUUAUUGAGUUCAUUGCAAGUUAUGAUUGUUUGAAUUUUAGUUUUAUUUUCAUGGAUUUGUUGAAGAUGCUAAGGAAAUUGAUAGUGAUAGGUUGUUAAUGGGGUUAUCAGUGGCGAAUCAAGCACAAUGAAUUGUUUAUGUGAGGAUUUGAUUAAGUUUCUGGGACUGAUUUAACCGAAAUGAUUUGUAUUUUAGUGGAUACAUGCAGCAAUGAGAUGCCGAAAAAUGUGUUUUUUGUGUUUAGAUCUAAACCAGCCUGAUUCCAGUAGGAAAGUUGGUCAACAAUUACAUCAACGAAAAUGUAGGGCUUCAUAUGUCCAAGUGUUUUAAUUUGGAGUAAUUGCAUUAUACUUUUGCUUUGUUCCUACACGAUGUUGCUGUGUGUUUUUGAUUCUUGUCAUAUGGACUUUGAGAACUGAUUGGAAUGUGAUCAUGUUAUUAGAUACUUUCAUGGAGUUGAUGAUAGUGCAUUGGUGCUUAUUGAUUUUAUGCACUAUGUAUAGGUGAGUGUUGUAUUCCAGGCGUAUUUGAACUACACGUAUGAAGGCAACAAAUUAGAGUCUCUAAUGCCUUUAAUGCUAGGGAAAAUGCCCAUUAGCCUAGUAGGAGGUCCUACUGACCCUAAUGGGUGGUCAUACUGCCCCCAACCCAAUAGGGACUUGUUCUAAGUGACUAAAGGACACAGUUAAGUUCAAGGGUCAUAUUUUCCUUAGUAAGAGGUCCUACUGACCCCAAUAGGAGGUCCGACUGACCCUAAUAGGAGGUCCGACUGACCCCAAUAGGUGGUCCUACUGCCCCCAAUAGGAGGUCCUACUAACCCCAAUAGGUGGUCAUACUGCCCCAUAUAGGGACAUGUUAUAAGUGACUGAAGCAUAGUUAAGUUCAAGGGUCAUAAUGCCCCCAGUAGGAGGUCUUACUGACCCCAAUAGGGAUCUGUUAUAAGUGACUGAAGCAAGCAGUUAAGUUCAAGGGUCAUACUGCCCCUAGAAGAGGUCUUACUGAUAGGAGGUCCUACUGUCCCCAAUAGGUGGUCAUAUUGCCACAGUUAAGUUCAAGGGUCAUAAUGCUCCUACUAGGAGGUCCUAUUGACCCCAAUAGGUGGUCAUACUGCCCCUAAGAGGAGGUCCUACUGACCCCAAUGAAUGGUUAUACUGACCCUAAUAGGAGGUCCUACUGACCCUAAUAGGAGGUCUUACUGACCCCAAUAAGUGGUCCUACUGCCCCCAACAAACCCCCCGACGAACCCCUUAUUGCCCCAAUAGACCCCCCGAUAUGACCUCCUACUGCCCCCAAUAGAACCCCCAACGAAACCCCUACUGCCCCAAUAGACCCCCCGAUGAACCCCCUACUGCCCCCAAUAGAUCCCCUAUUGCCCUCAAUAGACAUCCGAUCACCUCUUGUUAAAAAAAAAAAAGAAAAAGACAUCAUGUCAACAGUCUCUAGAGUUCAGUCAACGGUCGUUGGAGUCCGGUCAACGUCGUCGGAUCCCGGUCAACGGUCGCAGGAGUCACGGUCAACGGUCAUCGAUUGGGAGAAUCCGGUCAUAGAUAUUUAUUUCAAAAUAAACCUUCUAUUGUUCUAAUUAUGACUUAUUGUAGUUUAUUUAAAUCAUUAAGGGAAUAAUUGUUUUUUUCCUGUUUAAGUUGGUUAUUGAGAAUUUUGAAAUCUGAUUUUGUUGAUGAGAAAAAAAUUAUUAAAAUUAAGGCUAAGAGCAUCUUUAGCAAUGCUAGCCAUUUUUAAGUUAAAUUUUAGUCAAAUUAGCUAAAACGUCAUUUUGGCUAGCCUCUUUAGAAAUAUGGCUACAUCAAUGUUCUCUAUUUUAGCUAGCAUUACAUCAACAUUAUUCUUCAAAUAGAAAUUAAAUAGUUUAAAUAUAUUUAUAUAUCAUAUAAAAUAUCUUACAAGAAAUGUAAUAAAUUAUAGCUAGCCUCAUUUGAGCUAACUCGGUCUCAUUUGAGCUAACUCGCUAGCUAAAUAUAGCUAGCAAGAUAGCUAAAAGUUAUAAUAGCUUAAGUUUGGCUAGUCUGCUGGAGCUCUUAAAACAUCCAAAAAAAGCUAAAUACGCUCUCUAAAAUAGCUAAAAGCUAAAAUAGAGAGUCUGUUAAAGUUGCUCUAAUAGGCAUUGUCCCCGUUUUUUUUUUUGAUGAAAGUAUAGUAAAAGUUAAAACUUGAGUUUUUGAAGAAUGAAGGCAGUUUAAACCCUAAAUAGUGUUUUUGAUUGUUGAUCCAGCAAAAUAUGUUUACCUUGGCAUCAAUGGAACUAUUGAAUCGUCUGGAGCGGAGUGGUACCAAAAUAUGUUUCAACGUGUUCUUUAAUUCCUUAGAUGGAAGCCGAAAGGCAUGUAAUGGGCGUUUUGGCCUUAGGCUAGUACCAUUGGUUCAUAAUUCGAUUACACUACAUUGUCUGAAUAUGUUUCGAUAUGCUUGCUGACUAUUGAGCUUCUUGCAAUGAUAUUAGUAGUGAUCGAGUUUUCUUUAAAAGAAUAAUAAUAACAACACUAACAAAAGACAUCAGUAUGUGAUAUUGCUUGCCGUCCAAAGCAUUUACAAUAUUGACAAUAUAGAAAAAUUGUUUAAUAUCCAAAUUGAAGGCGCAAAGAGCUGUAAGAGAUUCUCAAACAAACUACACCAAUUUUGUUUUUUCAGAUUUUAGAUUCAAAUUUUUUUUUCUUUUCUUUUAAUUUGAUUUAUUAUGAAAUCAAGUAAUUCCAUGUCACUUGUCAAGUCAGUUGUUGUAAGUUGACAUCAUACCUACAAUUGAUUUAGACCAUUGAAUUUUUUAACAUCUAAUGGCUAAUAAAUGGUGUCAAAAUUUAUGUCAAACCUAAUGUCCCAGGAACCGGACCCAUGCUAUUUAUUCGACGUACUACAUUAUUCAACGCAUUACGUUACUUCGAUGUACGUAUUAUUUCGCUGGAUAAAAUUACAUAAACAAAACUCUACUUAAAUAAACAAAAACCAUUGUUGCACAACACAUCAAAGACACAACAAUAGCUUCUCAUCUCAAAUAUGUAAAAAACAAUGGUUUCUGUCGGACCCCAAAUUCGAUUGUAUAUAAAGCAUCGAAAUUGUCAUCCAAUUUAGUUUCACAACAACAACGAAACAAACAGAAAAUUUAGCCCAAAAGAAUUUUUGGACAUCGAAUUAAAGUCCAAACCACAAAUCGAUAUCUGCGGCCCAAAAGCUAACAUUUUUACAGUUUAACAGUUUAAGAGAUUGACUUACUGACUUAUGGAUUGAUCGAGUAUAUGUUUUAGUAAACUACAUAUUAGUUACUAACCAAAUUUCAAUUUAUAAAUACAUCCUUUACACAUAAUCUUACAAAUAUAAGGACAAAAAUUAACAAAUUAUGCCAAAUUGGUGCACUUGCCAUCUGUCACUGAUAUUUUACCGAACUACCCUUCACUACAUAUUCUACUGCUACUGUCGACGAAAAGCGUGCUACUACCGAGUAAAACGUGCUACUUCCAAUAGAAAAGUGCUACUGCUAGUGCUAUUAGAAUUUUUCCGACCAUUCUCUGAUGCUAGCGCAUUGCUACUAUUGAUUUAGAUGCUUAGUGCGCUGCUAUUGCCAAGUCUGAUGUUAGUGCGCUGCUACUGCCGAAGCGUACUACUGUUGGAAAAAACCUGCAAAAAACGAAGAACACUGCAAUUUUAACAAAGACCUCCAUCAAUCCACAACGUGAUCAUCUUGUUCCAUAAACGCUCCCUCACAACCUCCAUUUUCAGAUCUCCAAUCUCUCUCUUGAACUCCUCCAGCUCCUCCUCUUUCUCCUGAACCACAAAAUCAUCAGCUCCAAUUACCCAAUCGCGCGCUCUACAAACCCAACCUGAUUGAAGACGAACAUGUUGACAGAUUUAAUUUGAGAUCAGAGUAAAAUCCAACAUAGAAGAAUCAAAUUUUUUUUUUGACCUUUUAAAUCAAACAUCACCAACCUUUAUGGCAUUUUCGGCCGAGUCACUCUCACCCUUUCGGAUCGAAGACGACAACGACGAAGAUCUCGACGUCAUCCGACUCCACUGCCUGAACGAUCAACUACGGUAAGCUCAGACCGAUUAAGAGAUUGAUUAAUUGGAUCUGAUGGAACUUAUUGGAAGCUCCGGCAUCAGAUUGACGAAUCCGAUCAAAUCUGUAAGAUUUGAUUCAAUUUGGUGGUGCUUUCGUCGCCGGAACCGGGUUUUGAGGUGAAUCGAUUAUUAUCUGUGAUAAACGUCGCCGAUGACUUCAAUGAUGCAGUGGUGGUGGUGGAGCGUGGGUCAGGAUGAGAGAGAGAGAGAGAGAGAGAGAGAGAGAGAGAGAGAGAGAGAGAGAGAGAGAGAGAGAGAGAGAGAGAGAGAGAGAGAGAGAGAGAGAGAGAGAGAGAGAGACGGUGGGUGGUUGGGUGAGUGAGUGAGUGGAGAGAAGAAGGGUUUGUGGUCAUGUCUGUAAUUAAUUUGAAAAUUGGACAUUUCGGUCAUUUGACAGUGAAAUUUCGGAUCAGGCUAAGCUUUGGUUCAUGGUGGGCCUCACCUCAUGUUCUAAUAUGUUUAGAAAUUAUCAUUAGUGGGUUAUUUAUGUUUUUAAAUUUGAUCAUGUGCUACUAUUUAAUUUUCUCUAUAUGUUUCGGCCAUUUCCGUGACUCGCAAGGAGACACAAUUGUCACAGAAUUAAAUAGAAGAAGUCGAUUUGGAAACGAAAUCGCUUAAUCAUUCUAAGGAAGGGAACACGUCGAAAACCCUAGCUACUAACAGUAUAUAUAGGCAAGGUUUGAGGACGAGAAAAGAACCUUCUGACAAUCUCACAAACAACUACAAAUAGCGGCUCCUGCUUUCAGGCAUUUUUGCCGAUCUAUCAAAAGCCUCCCUUGGAGCACUACUCGGCAGCUUUUGCUCGCCAUUCAGAUACUAACCUUAGCAAACACCCAGUGUUUCGAUUUAGUAUAGUUCAUGACGGGUUACAAGAAAAAUCCUAGUCUCGACUAGGUAAAGUAGAACAUAACAAACGGAGUUGGCGCUCUCCAACUUCUCACCUCACUUAGAUCUGCCUUCUUCUCACCUCACUCAGAACUACCUCAAAUCCAAAUCAGCUGUCGGAGAAUGACGUCACUCCACCCCUCCGAAGUCCGAACUGGACACCGAUUCCGUCGCCUCCAUUCCGCGAUCGGACCCCUCAAACGACCAAACACCUAUACGGUUGUGGGUUCAUCAGUCAGAGAGCGACUAGGCAGUGGAAUCCGAUCGAUCUAAUUCAACGACUUGGUUGUGGAAUUUGAUUUGAUUUCUUAAAGAUCUUCAUUAUCCUAGUCGUCGUCUUCUAUCCAAAAGAAUUGGAGAGCGAGGGGCGCUGCUACUGUUCAUGUUUUUAUUUUAUUUUUUAGAUUUGUUCUCUUCUUCCCAUCAUCUCUCUAAACCACAACAUAUAUUGGAAAAAAGAAAUUGAAUUCAUUGCUGAGAGGUUUGAAUUCAGUAUAUUUGUCUAUUGCUAGAUGCAAUUUUGUUGCUCAGUAGCAGUAAUAUGAACACAGUAGCAAUGAUAUUGAACUGAGUUCGAAUGUCAUAGGCAGUAGCAAUUUUGUACGAGUUCUGCAGUAGCAGGUUUGUACUAGCAACUGUGCAGUAGUAGGUUUUGACGAAUACAAUACUAUUGUGAGAUCUGAUUGGACUUUGACUUCUUUGUUUCCAGAUCAUCACGACUUUGAGACCUGAAGGUCCAGGGGAUUCGGAUUCAUCACCUUAGCAACGAGAAGGCCAUGAGGGACGCGUCGACAGUGAUGAUCGAUGAUGAUCAGAGUUUGUAUAUGUGUUUGUCAUUUCGCUGCUACUGUUGAGAUAUAUUGGAUGGGUAAUUUGCUACUACUGUGAUAUGUUGGAACAGUAAGUUGGUGUUACUGUUGAGAUAUGUUGAAGAGGUAAUUUUAAGCUACUGUUGGGAUAUGUUGGAAGGGUAAAUUUGCAGACGAGUAGUAACAUUCAACAAUAGCAUAUUCUAAAUCGACAAUAGUAAGUUUGUUUGGUUGCUGAGAAGUGCCGGAAAAAAAUUACAAUAGCACCGACAGUACUGCAGUAGCACUUUUCUAUUGGCAAUUCAAUAACACUUUUCUUGCUCGGCGGCACUUUUCUUUUGUAAAUUGAAAUUUAGUCAGUAAUUAAUAUAUAGUUUGCUUAAAAAAAUAGAACACUAUCAAUUGUGAUACAAAAUCCGCUAACGUAGCAUUACUUUUUUUUUUUUAGACGAUAUUAGUUCCUCGGAGGCAAAAACGAAUUCCGUUGCCGGACUUGAACCCGGGUCUUUCGGGUGAGAAAUGGCUAUAUUUCGUUAAAACCCAAAUAAAAGUUCUCCCAAGUCACAAAUUUGAUACAUACUAACUCUACCGCAACCUGUCCAGCCGCUGAGGUCCCUUCGCAGAGUAGUACCCCUCCUCGCAUGCCUUUGACACACAAGUAACAGCAGAAUCGCUCCUAGUUUGAUUCUUCUCAGAAAACCCGAGAAAGCAGAUCUCGUUGCAGAAGAACCGCCGGGUUACGCUCACUAUUUUCUUCACCUCAUUCAUCCGGAGCCUAAACUCAGUAACCACCUUCAGCCCCAACGCUAUCGUAACUCUCCCUGCAGCCUCGGUUAUGUUCUUCAUUACGUCAUCUCCCACGUAAGCCCUCAGUGUCGCAAGCUUGAAACUCACUCUGGUCUGGUUCCUCGGAGGGUUCAAAACAAAAGGAGGCAGAAUCGUGGUUGCAAGGACUAAUGCGUCGCUCUCGUCCGACCUGCCGUAGUAGAGCCACACCUGGACGACGUUGUAGUUGACGACGAGCUUGUCGUCGGAGUUUUUGGCGAGGAGGAUCAUGUCCCACGUGGUGGUGAGCUCGCCGGGGUUGGUCGUGUUUAGUGAGGAAAUGAAGGCCGAGUCGACCCGGAACUCGGGAUGAAAGUGCCCUAAUAAUCGACGCAAACUUCGAAACCGUAAUGUCAAGAGGAUGAACAAGAUGAUCAACAAGCAAGUGGUGCAGGCUAAGCAAACUGCCGCUUUUUUUUCUUCAUAAUUGUACGUGAUGAUGAACUUGUGAGUUGUGACGACUAAUGCUGAUUGUGAUUAGGGUUUUUUGUGCUUAUUCGAUCUUAUGCGUAAGUUAUAACCCUAUUCUCUCUCAAUCACCUUGCUGUUUUGAAUGGAUAAGUACGUAUACAUUUUAAAGAUGAUGUUGAACUGUUGAAUCAUAUGUUGUAUAUAUAUACUCAUAUGUUGUAUAUAUUUUAAAGGUAAUUUUAUGCAAGAAUAUUUUCACGGAUAUACGAAAUAUAUUAUAACGCAUUGUAGUCUCAAUAUUCACGUCGUAGUGUCAUCAUACAAUGUCAUCCCAAAAAAUUUAUAAUAUUUAUCAUUCUAAAAAAAAAUAAUCUAUCAUAUUUAAUGAAAAAAUCUAUUAUAUUUAAUGAAACAGUGUGAAGAUGCAGAGCGCAUCUAACCAGAAUCGGCAGAGGAAGCCAAAAACAAGUUAGAAAGGCUUGAGAUACAGCUGCGUGGUGUGUUAAGCAUAACCAGCAACAAUGUUACGUGAAGAAACAAAAAGUUUCAAACGUAAUCGUCGCCCACACCAUGACCUAUGAUCUGUCUCUAUCUAGCUAUGUCCUCAGUUUUCAAUAAGAUACUACUAUAUAUGCCAUGCUUAUAUAUACAAGCCAAGCCAAGUUUCUUGUCAAACCCCAAAUUCUUAUAUAAAGCCUCCAUAUCGCCAACCAGUUUAGUUUCACAACAGCAACAAAACAAACAGAAAAUUAGGCCAUUUUUCCAGGAUCAUGACUCAUAAAUCUUUCACUUUCUGAUCUGAUCCUCAUUGAUCUCUGUAUUUUUUCCAUAUGGGUUCUUCCGGUACUUGUUGGAUUUCCAAACCUGUCUUUUUUGUGUUCGUGAUAUUGUCUCUUGGCUCCUGUGCUUCAUCAUCAUCUUCCUUGCACCCUUUGGUUUUCCAGUCACAACUCGAACACCUAAACCACACGGCAAUAUCAGAUUUUAGGGUGCUCAACAGAAGAUUCUUUGGCGACUGUCCGAAUCCGAGCCCUUAUCUGCAAAUCAGUUUUAACUCGAGUUCUGGUGGCUUGGGAGAUGAUGAGUUUGUGACUGUCAAUGUUACUGGCGUUUUGAACCCUUCCAAAAGUGAUUGGGUGGCCAUGAUUUCACCUUCUACGUCCGAGUAAGUGUUAUACCUACGUUUUCGUAUAUCUGUUAUCAUGAAUGUUAUGUUAUCAAAUGCAUGUAAACCACAGAUUAAGUAUAGUCGUUUGAUGAUAACGUGGUGGUGUUGUUUUGAUAUUUCACUAUUAUUAACUCCAUGAUUAUUUAUAUGCAUGCAGUGUCUCAAGCUGCCCUUUGAAUGCGAUGUAUUAUGUACAGACUGGUGAUUUUAGUAAACUUCCUCUUCUCUGCCAUUAUCCUGUUAAGGUAAAUGAUUCUCUUUUCCUUCUGAUGAGGUUAACCUGAUCGAAAAUAAUAACUAUAGAUUUGAAGAAGGAAAGAGAGAAAUUAAUAGUCUGGUAAUUAAAGAACAUUAGGAGCUAGCUAAAUAAUAACUAUGAUGAAGGAUAAAAUGUAGAGAUAAAGAGAUAGCAAGAGAAUCAUCAUAUUAUUCAUUGAUAGGAACCCUUUAUAUAGGGAAUUACACAAUACCAAUAUGGUAAGGAUAUGAAUACAUAGAUCUAGUCUAACUACAUAUCCUAUUGGUAUAAGGCCAAGGCACACAUAGAGAAUAUCCUAGAACACUCCCCCUUGUGCCGCGCGCUGAUAUGCCGAUGGUGCUGAUCUGUUGCCUCGUUAAAAACCUCGUCAAGUCACAAAAACCCUGUGGGAGAAAAACUGAACCUUGAUCGUAGGAGAAAAAGAGUACAACGCACCCUUCACAUUUGAUAGUGACAUGUAUGUAUGUGCUAGACUCCCCCUGAAGUUCGCACCUCCCCCUGAUCUUUACAUCAAUCAUGGGGCUCUUCCUGAUUCUUACUAAUCACGGAAGUUUCAAAAACUUAGCAUGUCAAUGCUCUUUAACAUAUCUUCAAAUGUGGCAUUAGACAAUGAUUAACUAAAUCAUGCCGUAUUGUCCUCAAAUGAUCUUUUACACUUAGAUCUUGAGGAGAAGGUCGCUUGUGAACUCAAAACAUAAGUUCGUGCAGGAAAUCAGAUUUCCGCGCAGCAUGACCUUCAAUUAUUAGAACAGUCGUAACUUCCUCUAGGAAAUACAUAUGAACGAACCGUAAACGGUUUUGGAAACUAGACUCAUUUAGCUUUCCAACCGUAUAUUACACACAUUCUAGUUCAUCAGGAGCUGUUCACAAAAUCCCGUCGAAGUUGACUGUUUUGCCAAAAUCAGAUUCUCGGACAGAUUCGUCAUACUUUGCGAAAACGGCCAUAACUCACUCAAUAUGAUAGGUAUGAUCAAAUGGUUGGUGUCUCUGGAAAGUAGACACAUAGACCUUUCCAAUGGUACCAAUUUUACCAUAUUCCAGUGAGUGAGGUUUCCUGUAAGUCCCGUGGAGCUUGACCUACGAAACUUGGCAGAUUCUGAUUUCGCUAUUGAUGUGUCUUUCUUAUGUAGGGAUAGAAUAAGCCUCAACCUUUCAUACCAUUAAGUAUUGAAAAAGGAGUUACUGCCAUUACAUUGGUGUUGCGUGGGCGCAUAGCUACACUUAGCUUUACAACUUUUCAUAGCGAAUGAGAUGUCAAGUCUUUCGUAUUGUGUUGAGUACAUUGAUGCAUCUAAUUGUACUUAGAUGGGAACUCCAUCUCUUAACACAUAUUGUCAUCUUGCUUUAGACAAAACGNNNNNNNNNNNNNNNNNNNNNNNNNNNNNNNNNNNNNNNNNNNNNNNNNNNNNNNNNNNNNNNNNNNNNNNNNNNNNNNNNNNNNNNNNNNNNNNNNNNNNNNNNNNNNNNNNNNNNNNNNNNNNNNNNNNNNNNNNNNNNNNNNNNNNNNNNNNNNNNNNNNNNNNNNNNNNNNNNNNNNNNNNNNNNNNNNNNNNNNNNNNNNNNNNNNNNNNNNNNNNNNNNNNNNNNNNNNNNNNNNNNNNNNNNNNNNNNNNNNNNNNNNNNNNNNNNNNNNNNNNNNNNNNNNNNNNNNNNNNNNNNNNNNNNNNNNNNNNNNNNNNNNNNNNNNNNNNNNNNNNNNNNNNNNNNNNNNNNNNNNNNNNNNNNNNNNNNNNNNNNNNNNNNNNNNNNNNNNNNNNNNNNNNNNNNNNNNNNNNNNNNNNNNNNNNNNNNNNNNNNNUAACAAAGGCAUAGUUGAUAGGGUUUAGCUUGCGGUGUCGGCAUCACCUGCCCAAGGACCUAUCUCUUUGUUAAUGUUGGAUCGCAUCUUUCCAUUAGGCCAAUCAACUAAGUUGAUAUCCAUCAACGAAGGGUGGUUCGAUAGUAGACUCAUUAUCUCACGUCCUCAUGUACACUAGUGUAAUACUUGUAGAGAUCUCUAUAUGGAUUGGAUUUGAUAUUGAGGCGUCCCCCAACGAUAAUCACAAUUCAGACUUCAUGAGACGGAUUUGAGUAUCACUAAUCAAUGGAUCAGGUUGUGCCAAGCUCACUUUCUUUCUAGUGCAAGACAAUAUCGAACCUAAGGGCCUCCCUCCUUUUAGGGAGCCACACGGCCUUGUGACGCCAAUUUUGCCACUAUAUGGCGUCACCAUAUCACCAUCCAUGGUGAUGGUGUCAAGACCAACACUUUUUGGUCGCACCAUGUCCUUUUGUAGGACAUCAAUCCUUGCAGACAUAUUUGCAACAUGUGAUCUCGUCACUUUAACACUAUAAGCAUUUGGGAUCAAGAUGAGACUUAGUGGGGACAAACCACGACAAUUCACGUCGUUCCACUUGAACACUUGUGUUCUUAUCUCCCCCUAACGGCGGGAAUAUUGUCUCAUCAAAGUGACAAUCCGCAAUUUAACGGUGAAUGAGAUCGCUUGACAAGGUUCCUACAUGUGCGGAUUAUAGGUGGAGGUUCAUAUCCAACCUAAACUUAUUCAUCUCAAAAUGACCCAUCAUUGUACGCAAUGGCAAUGCGAUUUGGCACCUAGAAAUAACAUAUAGCGGAGCUCAAGGAUUGGAGAUCCGUUUCAAUCCUGCCGAGCUCAAGGAUUGCAAUUUCGUGUCAAUCCUGGUACACAGUCACGAGCUGUAGUAUAACAAAAUUCAAUGAUGGUGGGUCGUAAAUGAAUAGUAAAGCUGCAUGCAAAUAUUGCAUAGCCCCAAAACGCAAUAGAAAGAGUGGUGCGCAUCAAUAAUGUUCGAGCGACAAGCUAAAGUUGCUUGGUCGUAGCCUCGGUGAGACCGUAUUGCGUGUGAACAUGGGGUACAGGACACUUCAACUUACAUCCCGAUGAACUUCUUUAAAGAAUAGGUAGUGAGCCCGUAGAAGUAUAAGCAGCAUAAGCAGUAGAUAAUAGUGUAACACGUGACCAGUGUGCUAACACUUCAACCAACACCAUAAAGCAUAAAAGGUGUCCGUAAGUUGGUUGUAUCUAUCUACAUAAUUUUAUGUAAGAAUAGAAUGUUCACUUUUGUGUUAUUUAGCAUAGGAAGGUCUCACUCCUAAUUUAGCUAAAGAAUAGGCUUUCAAAACGAGAAAUGAGCAUUGCAGGGGGCCAAUGCGACAUCGAGGAAAGGCCGGUGCACCUCAAUUGCUUGAGGAAUUGACCGGACGACCUCCAGGAAGUUGGAGUCGUGUUCGGGUGACGUCAAUGUCCCCCGGGUCACCACCAUGCUUCAUAGUGAUGCUACAUCUCGAAUGUCUUCGUUUUGAGCGGAAGAAUGGAUGUCCAUGAGAAUUUCUCAAAAUUUGGAUCAUUAUAUCUCUUCCAGGUUGACCAAUUAGUCAAACCAAAGCCAAUAUGAGUCAGUGUUCCAAAUAUCAUGUUUGGCGACAACAUGGGAUUCGAUAUUCGAAUCAUAGUGACAUACAGUCCACUAGAUUGACUCAUGAAUUUCUCCAAGAUGCGCUUCAGUCCGCAUUCAUGAGAAGGUAUACACAAAAGAAUUCUUGUUCAUUCUUACAAUGUGUUUUCAAAUGAAAACCAUUAGCAUGAAUGUCUUUAAAGCUCAACAUGGUUCCUUAGAAUGUUGUGGAUAGUUCCAUUAUCUACGAAGCACUCAAUGUCUCUAUGAGACAUAACUAGAAGGAGUAGAUAGGCGAGUAAAUAGUUCUACUAGAACCAUUUAGAAGGAUUGAAAGAAGCUACGAAAAGCUGCAAUCCCGACAGUGCAUAAAAGUUUCCGCGCAGAAUGACCUUUGCGCACUAAAACAGCCAUAACUUCUUCGUUAAAAUAGAUAUGGACGAACCGUGAAAAGUUCUGAAAACUAGACUCAUAGAGCUUUCCAAUGAUAUAAAGCUCACUGUCUGGUUCGUCCGGAGCUGUUCACAAAGCUCAAACGAAGUUGACUAUCCAGACUGUUUUUCGCAGAUUUGGCAUGUGCGAAGCUGUGAAGCUUGCAGGUGGCGUGUAGGCUUUUGCCUUAGCCAAAAGUGACGUGUGUAUGAUCAAAACCAAGUCCUUUCGAUCGUUCUAAGGUCGUAAACUCCAUGACUAGUUAGCAAAAGCUCCCUGACAUGAACAUAAACUAACUCAGAGGACCUAGAGGAUCCGAUUAUGAUGAUAAUUUUCCAGCUUUGAUAAGUCUUCAACGUCUUUUGCAAGACGGAAAUUGGUUUAAUAGCGUAGGGGGAUCCAAAAUCAAAAGCUUUCGGUAACUCCAAGUCAGUAUGACCAGGCAUGUCCGUGGAGGGUCGGUAGUGCGAGGCAUACUUAAAACCACUAUCUCCUUAAUUUCAGACAAUUUUAAGACAUCACACUGAGCUUGGAUGAGCCUAGUUGAACAAUUGAUGAUGAAAAAUCUGCUAUAGGGUAGAAGACUUAACCGGAAACACGUGGGCGAUCCUCCUUGAGGAUGCAGUGCCAUGAGUCACCUUCAAAGGAAGGGACCAAAAUCGGCACAAUAUGCCAUGUUUCUAAGGACGAUGUAAGUGUACAUCUUGAUUGUAAAUCAAUAUGAACUAUAAGAGGAGAAUAGUUUCACUUCGAAAAAAUUCUCAAGGCAUUCAUUAUUGCUAAUGUGAGUACAUCGAGGUCUCAAAUAGACAAAGGACGUCGAUACAACGCCUUAGUACAUAAAGUUUGGAACGAAAAUCAAUGUUUAGCCGAUGACGUCAAAGUCAUGGGUAGCUAGAGCAGGAUCCGAAUCUUUGAAAUUCGCGAUCAUGAGGAUGACGUUCUUGUCCUCAUAUUGAUUUUCCGUACCUUUUUGUAUGCAUUCACAAUUUGAAGGAGCUUGACAAUCUUGAACCAGUGAUCCGAAGAUCCAUGACGGUUGCAUUAAUGUCAUGAGCUGACGUGAGUAGUUUUGACAAAAUGGUGUCUAGACCGGGAGUGUCGCUAUUAGAGCCGGCAACACCUCCCCCUCUUUUCUAGACAUCGGCACGACAUUUUCUGCCGUUGCCAUGACCCAUAUUGUUGUCCCCACAUUAGGGGAUAAUCCUAAAUAAGUUUAUCACAUUAGCGUAUAUACAAUUCCUGUUUGUAUGAUCAAAAUCAAGUCUCGUUGGUAAUUCCACACCAACUUGGAGGACCUAGAGAACUUGAUGAUGAUCGAAUCCGCUAAAGAUUAUGGAUCAUGAUGCCACAAAAGAUCAUCGACAAUAUGUAGUCAAUUAAGGUGGUAAGCAAUCCACUUGACUAAUAACUCAACAAGUAGAGUUAUAUGAACGUUUCGAGAAACGCUCUAUGAGUGCAUUCCAUAGUACUUUGUGGUCAUUACUUUUUGCACAGAUUGCCAUUGAAGGCUUUUGUCGAUGUGGCACGUCAAAGACUUUGAGCGCAUGAGAUGUGAAAUCUCGGCAUCUAGGCUUGUUAGCCUGGGAGUCAAAACAUGUGGUUUAAUCCUUUCGAAUGAAAGGUUCCACAGAUACCAAGCGAAGAUCCGCCUGAGGCAUCUAGUACGUCAAAACUCAAAGGAGCAGAAUGUUACAUUGCUUUUGCAUACAAAACCAAGCUGUUAUGAGACUCGAUAGAGGUCACAAACGAUGCUUUUAAUGGUUUGUCCUUCGGAUUGAUCAUACACAAUCCGGAAAAGCCGCGAAUUGAUCAAACACAAUUCGGAAAAAGGCCUCGGAUUGAUCAAACACAAUCCGGUGAAAGGUCGGGGUUGAUCAAACACAACCCGGACAAAGAAACAAGAGUGAUCAAACACACUCUUGACCCGCGAAUAAAAUUCCGGGAUUUGGGUACCUGCACGCACAAAAUCCCAAGCAUAGAAUGGAGAUGGAGAAGGGAGGAAAGGAUUUUAUCCUCCCCGAGUUAUUGAACUUGGAAAAGUUUAAGGUUUCAAAAAACAUACCUUUCUAGAGGCUGCCGAGAGGAGAAAUAACGUUUCGCCUACUUAUACUUUGAAUUUGGGGCUGAAAAUUUGAUAGGAGGAGCAGCUCUGGAUGGGGAAGCGGCUAUCAAAAUUUCAGGUUGAUCGAAGCAAGGGAAGGUGGUGAACCGGUGGUCGGUAGAGGUGGCGGUCUGGAAUCUUCUGGCGGCCAGUUCGGAGACUUUCCGACCGGUUCUCAGGGUGAGACCGGCGGCGUUGGAUCCGGGGCGGAGAGAGCUUUCUGGGGAUAUAAAAUUCAGGCGGAGGACAGUUGGAAUUUUGGUCGAAAAUCGGGAAAAACAAGGCUGCCCGAUUUUAGGGUUUUGGUUUUUUAGGGUUUAGAAAAAAAUGGUGGGCUAUUGGCUCUAGGGUUAGAACAAAGUGCAUGAUAACGUGAUGAAUGAUAAAAUGUAGAGACAAAGAGAUAGCAAGAGAAUCAUCAUAUUAUUCAUUAAUAGGAGUCCUUUAUAUAGGAAAUUACACAAUACCAAUAUGGUAAGGAUAUGAAUACAUAGAUCUAGUCUAACUACAUAUCCUAUUGGCAUAAGGCCAAGACACACAUAGAGAAUAUCCUAAAACAAACUAUAGAAUAAUGCACUAUAUUUGCCUAAUUUUGCCUAAUUUGUCAAUAAACUAUAUUUGAUGAAAUAUUCGAAUAAUGCACGUACGUAUUUUUUCAUACUAUACAUGUCUAGUCUAAUCUUAUGCAUAUCUUAAUUUUCAUAGGGGAAAUGAAAAUAGUUUGACAAUUGCAUUUUAGGUCUAGUAUUUGACAGGCUCUUUAGAUAAUAGAUUUGUCCGGCUGUCCAAUAGGAUGUAUAUCAGGACAAGUUUUUGAUGUCAUAUAUCAUGGGCAACAUGGCAAAGGCCGCCCUAUUGAUGAACCAAAACUACAUGUAAUUUCGUCCGUCAUUUCAUGAUACAUGUCUCUCAUUCGUAAAUGUUAGGCCGUGAGUUCAUCAACCAAAACUGCAAGCUAACUGAAAAGAGUGAUCAUCAGCUCAAUUCCAUCGAUCGGUCACCACUACUUUUGAUGACAUAGAUUGAAAAGAGUUAGAUCGAUCAUGAGCUCUUUUUGUCUUUCGGCGGGAAGAAAUAGCACAUUUAAUGUUGGCAGUUAGGUCAGAAAACAGAAGAAGCUAGACAGCACCACUUGUGAUUAUAUAGGUAGGUAGUAACAGAAAAAUGGUUUAAUCGUGAAAGCCCAAAUAGUCAAACAACGUAGGACAGCAGCCAAUACAUGUGUUUAAUAUGAAUCUCUUGUUAACAAAGUGGCGCCAAAGCAAAGAAACUAUGACGUUUACGCAACAACGUACCUGAUGGGGUAUGUGUUGCAUUAUUCUAUCUCACAAACUAUUUCAUCGUAUAUAUUUCUGUCAUAUUUUAGAGAAGUAAGUUUUGUGAGAAGUAGUUAAUUAUGUUACAAUAGUGUUCAUCUGGUUAAUUACUGACCAAAAGAUUCAUGGUCAAUCAACUAUUUCAUUCCGUUACCGUCUUCUAAAACCAUUUUAUUGGACAAUGUAAAAUUGUAAAAUCUUGUUGCCAAGAGGUUUAGCUUACCUUCUUCUUCUUCUAUAAACUAAAAAAAAAAACCCUUAAUAGGCUGUUACCGUCUUCUAAAGCCAUUUUAUUGGACAAUGUAAAAAUGUAAAAUCUUGUUGCCAAGAGGUUUAGCUUACCUUCUUCUUCUUCUAUAAAAUUAAAAAAAAAAAAAAAAAAAAACUUAAAAUAGAGAAAUGUAAGUGGAGAUGCGGGUAUCGAUCCCCACAUCUCUUGCAUGCUAAGCGAGCGCGCUACCAUCUGAGCUACAUCCCCGGACAACAACUUGCGCUCUUUGCAGUUUUUAGAAACGAAACUCUAAAUAAGGGAGGAAUAGGUAGUCCAAGAACGUAUAUGCAUGCUUGUUCAACCCCAUGCCACUUGUGCUUAUUUCUCAACAAACAAAAAAAAUCGAGACGUGAUUAGUGAAUCGGCACUUGAUAGUUUGAUGAUGGAAACAGUAGUUCAUAUAUAUAUAAUUCCUUUGCAGGCAACAUACAUGAGCACUGAUCCAGACUAUCUGAGUUGCAAGAAGAAGGAAUGCAAAAAGUAUCAGAAUGGUACCAGUCAAUGUGCAGUGUCCACCUGCAGUGGUUCGUUAACAUUUCAUGUUAUUAACAUCAGAACCGACAUCGAAUUCGUCUUGUUUUCUGGUGGAUUUGAGCUCCCUUGCAUUUUAAAGAGGGCAAACCCUCUGAAAUUUGCCAAUCCAAACAAGCCACUCUAUGGACAUCUCUCAAGCAUAGACUCAACUGGAACAGCGGUAAAUAAAUUGUGUCAUAUUCUAGUUUGUGUCAAGCAAUGAUCGAAACCCAAGUUGAAAUAGUUAUUCUCUGUUGUAAGUUUGUGACUAUGAACUUGGAUAGCAUAUAGCUAGCUAGUUCUAAAAGAAUGAGACAUGACUUGUUAUGCAGAUGAAAUUAACAUGGGUCAGCGGAGAUGAUAAACCUCAGCAAGCACAAUAUGGAAAUGGAAAAUCACAGACUUCAGUAGUUACCACAUUUUCACAAGAUGAUAUGCAGAGUGAGUUCUCAUUGUUUUACUUCUAUAAAAAUAAUGUUUCUAUGGAGACAUGAGUAUUAUCACAUAUAUAUAUGAGGUAAAGUUAGAAUUGCUUACCCUAUGUGGUUUCUAAACUUUUCAUCCCUUCUAAUUAUUUCCUUUCACUAAUUGAUAGGUUCAGUCGCUAUACCAAGUCCAGCCAAAGACUUUGGGUGGCAUGAUCCAGGCUUCAUUCAUUCAGCAGUGAUGACAGGACUUAAGCCUUCAUCUACCUUCUCUUAUAGAUAUGGAAGGUACAAUAUUCAUAUCCAACCUCAAAAAUGAUAGAUGAAAAACUCAAAAAAGAAACUGAAAAGUAAGAAAUGUAAGAUUGAUCCUUAAUUGGGGGUUGAAAAAAAAAAUGCAGUAAUUCAGUUGGCUGGAGUGAUCGAAUCCAAUUCCGGACUCCACCUGCAGGGGGAUCUGAUGAACUCAAAUUUGUUGCAUUUGGCGACAUGGGAAAGGCUCCUCGUGAUUCUUCUGUCGAGCAUUAUAUUCAGGUAUAUGAAUUAUGAUGCUUUUCUUAGUACUGCAGAAAUUAGACUAAAAAAUAGUGACUGAUCAUUGUUCUAUCAUUCACAGCAUGCAUGUUUAGUAUAGUAAUUCAACAUGGGUAAAUUAGUAAAAUGAGGGGGGAACAAAGAAACUAACUAGCUGACUAUACAGUACAUUCAUUAUCUUCUACAUACCUUGAAGGGAAAGAAAAAUCCUAUACAGAUUUUUAAUCUUGUGGCAUGAAUAGCCAGGAUCCCUCUCAGUGAUUGAAGCCGUGACAGACGAAAUAAAAUCCGGGAAUGUGGACUCUGUCUUCCACAUUGGAGACAUAAGCUACGCCACCGGAUUUUUAGUUGAAUGGGAUUUUUUCCUUCACCAAAUCAACCCUGUCGCUUCUCGAGUUUCAUACAUGACAGCUAUUGGGAACCAUGAGAGGUACAUGUGCUAUAUAAUAAGACAUGUACAUACAGAUGACUUCAAAUAACAAUGUUAAGUUUUUCUUCUUUACCUAAUUCUAUGCUUGCUGUACACUUUUCAGGGACUACAUAGACUCUGGAUCAGUGUAUAUUUUAGCUGAUUCAGGUGGGGAAGUUGGAGUUCCUUAUGAGACUUAUUUUCCUAUGCCAACGCCGGCAAAGGAUAAACCAUGGUAUUCCAUAGAACAAGGAAGCGUCCACAUCACAGUGAUUUCAACAGAGCAUGAAUGGACUAAAAAUUCUGAGCAGGUAAAGAUGGUUAAGCACUGAUCUAUAGCAUCUUUAUAGAAUUAUAGGGCUAUAGAUCAAGAGUGAAAUGCAGGUAAUUCUACUUCUGGUUUGAUGUUUUUAUAUGCACUUGCAGUAUCAAUGGAUGAAAAAGGACAUGUCUUCAGUUGAUCGAUCUAAAACUCCUUGGUUGAUAUUUAUGGGGUAAGUACUUCAAUGCUUCAAAAACUAUUCUUCAAGUUCAUGUUGUGUUUCUGUAGGAACAUCAUACAAUAUAAAUCAGUUCUUUCAACCAUUGAUUUUGAUAAAUAUCAGUAUUGUAAGUUUAUAACUACUUGAAAGUUUCACCAGAUCUUCAUGCAUAUUAAUAGUUUCAAAUUGCAGGCAUAGACCAAUGUACACAUCUUGCCCUGGAUUCUUGAGUGUUGAUUUAAGAUUCGUUGACGAAGUUGAACCAUUACUUCUGUCAAACAAAGUAACAUCCCAGACCUUCCCCUAGCUAGUAUUGUUUUCUCUUUUAUUUCUCAAUGGAUUCCUUUUUUUCCUUAUCUGGUUUUGUAUUGGAACGUUAUUUUCUCUGCUGACAUGAAUAUAUGCUAUUCAAAAUUGGAACUAGGUUGAUCUGGCCCUGUUUGGUCAUGUCCAUAACUACGAGCGAACCUGCUCCAUUUUUAAGAGCCAAUGCAAGAAAUUGCCUAUCAAAAAUGAGGCUGGGAUCGACUCAUAUGAUCACAGAAACUAUGGUGCCCCAGUGCACGCUAUAAUUGGAAUGGCUGGCUUUUCCUUGGACGAGUUCCCCAGUGAUGUAAGUCCUCUCAUUCUGCCAUAUCACUCUUCAAAUAUAUGCCCAUAAUCAUAGUCAUGUAUGUUCUUCAUUGUUCUUUACAUGGAAUUGGGACUUCAAUCAAACAGAUUAACAAUAGUUGGAGUAUAUCAAGGCGUGCCGAAUAUGGUUAUCUCAGAGGGCAUGCAACAAGGACAGAUAUCAAAUUAGAGGUGAGUAUAUGCAAAAUUGAGACUAAAUUCAUUCACUUCAAGUCUGCCAGAGUUCAGGAACUACAAUGCGCAGAUCACUAAAUUCUCUCACUCGUAUUUUGUUUGUUUCAGUUUGUGAAUGCAAAAACAAGAAAAGUUGAGGACAGCUUCCACAUUACAAAAGCACAAGUUAGAUAGAUUGAGUUCACCUGUGACUACUACAGGUUUUUCUUUAGUAACUAUAAGGCAAUAUCUAUAUUUCCCCAGUUAGGUAGAUAUGUAUAUGUGAUAUGGAAACAAAAGUUAGUACACAGACGAAUAAGUUGUAGAGAACUUCGUCCCUAAAACGUAUAUAUACAGGAAACAAAUUACAUACAAUUUUGAUGCUGGCUAAUCUUUUUCAAAAAUAGUUGGCUGGUCUACGCUUACUCCCUACAUAAUCUCUUAAUUAAGCUGAGCAUUUUGAAGUGCUCUGCAAGCAAUGGCGGAGCCAGAACUUUAGAUUUAGGGAGGCCGAAAUAUAAUAAACGGAAAAAAUAUAUAAUAAUUUUAAAUCGUUUGACAAUAUUAUGUUUUAAUUGAAAAUAAUAUUAUUAUUUUUUUCAUAAUCUUUAAACAUAAUUGUUCGUUGUAAAGCUUCAUUCAUGUCCAUGUAACGACAUAUAUGUGUAUUAAAAAUUUAGAUGUAUGUAAAAUGAUUAGUUAAUACCUAAUUAAUUGUGAUGAUGGAUCCAUAUGGUAAGAGGCAAUGGAAACAUGACAUAAUAUUUUACAUAGAAAGAAAACUAGACCUAUACAAUUAUAAUCAUAACCAUUCAAUCCUACUCGGAAUAUUAUUAAUUGAUAUUUUUCAAAAACUUUAGGGGUGCCGAUUAUAAUAAUAACCAUACAAUCUUACUAAUAACAUAACAUUAAUUGACAUUUUUCAAAAACUUGGGGGUGCCAUGGCACCCCUUGGUCCUAAGCUAGUUCCGCCAGUGUCUGCAAGUUAGUACUUAGGUUGCUUCAGAGAAAAUGGAGCAUAUAAAACUUGCAGUACAGCAAAAAAGAACUAUAUGCAAUUCCAUAUCUUGAAUUUCAUAUAUGAUUGUCCUAGCUUCAUGUUUUUGUUAAAAUCACCCCAGGAACAUGGUUAAAGCCCACAGAUCUAACAGAAGGGUAUUUCCCACGAACUUGAAAGGGUGAUUUUAACUUGCUGACCCUUGCCGACUAUAACACCCAGACUGCUGAAACUUAUCAAAGAUCAGUAGACUAGUUUGAUAAUAGAUAGACUGGCUCAAUACAUAAAUAGACUAAAUUCGAGAGCAAGCCGAGCUGAUCUACUAGUGCAUGAUCUACUAGUCAGUCCUACCUCUAUAUCAAAUGUAGUCUACUUGAUGCAUCAAUACACAUUCUUGUAUUUAUACAAAUUCCUGGUUGUCUAAUAGACACAAAUGGCAUUGUCUGAUAGCGAAAGAGAACAUAGAGCUAUCAUAUUUACAUUGCAAAAUUAGUUCGGGUGCAACAAUGGAAUCAUAGUUUUGACAACGGGAGAUAGAUAUCAAUCAAUGCCCCAAACAAACUGAAAUAUAUUCUUACUAGCAGCAGCAUUUACAACAUUGUUACUCUGUGUUCUAAGCAUCUCCUCCUGAGCAUUAACAUCACCCUCCUGAUAUAAUAAACAUAUGCUUGUGUUAGUACAACGACCAUCAUGGAGUACGAAAAUGUUAUAUAGCAAGUUUAAAGAUGUUGAUAUAGAUAAAAUAAAUGUAUAAUUGGAUCAGUACAAUCAGGACUAAUCAGAUAGAACACAAUGCCUUGUGGACAAGAGUUCCAGUCUUGUAGAGGGUCCGAAAUCAACCAAGACACCACUGGAAAACCACCAAGGUUUUGGUGCAGAAUAAAAUAGGAAGAAAGGCGGUAUUAGAUACAAAUAUUGAACUGUCAACAAAGCUCAAGAAACAAGGAGUCCAGACCCAAAAUUCAACUUUGCCUAAAUCAACUACGCAAUCAAAUUUACAAGUACCUCAUAACAUCUAGCCUCUAAACACGUCAAUAAAGUGAGCACUAUAAUCAUCCAACACUUAGAAUUUACUCUUUUAAUUUAAUUAAUAUAUGCAGUCUUAAGAAUGCAUAUGCAAAGGGUCUUGGAACAUUUAAGCUCUUAAAAGAGCUGCCUCAUUAUUCUCCAAAUUUCAUUGUCCUCAUUUUGAUCUUUUCAGUUUACCCCAACCACAAUAAAAUUUGGAACCUCAUCAAGGGAUGACAAUUACCACUAGAAAUCAGCUGUAAAUUUUCCAAUUCUGCAAGGGAGUGAAGACUUACAAGUAGAGAGUAUUCACGGGCAAGAGAAAAAACUGUUGGGUACAAAUCCAGAACAGCUAUGGCAACUUCCUCAGUCACCUGGGGGACCUGCAUUCAUAAUUCAAUUGUAGCGUGCAUCAUUUUUGCACUAGGAAAUCCUACCUCUCAAAAAUGAUAUCCCCCCCCCAGACAAUAUCAUGAGCAUUGAUUCUAAAACUUAAAGACCAAUCAACCCAUCCUGCAUGGAAGUAUCCAUGCACUACUAUGCAGUUCUAAUGCUAAAGACAGAAUAGUAGAAACAUAGAGGGAAGCCAACACAUCCAGAAUAACCUGCAUUUAUUGACAGAAUAGGAAACCAACACACUUCCACAAUAGGAACGUUGUUCAGAUAUAUUGACAGAAAUGAACCUUUACUUUUAGUGUUUUACAAAAUCCAUAUUUAACUAUCUCGGUGUAUACAAAUAACAUUUAGACGCAGUAUAUAUAAAAGGAACAAAUUUGUAGAAGUGUGGAGUUUUACUUUUUUUUCUAAGCAUACAUUAUAUAUUUGUGUGUGAAUGGAUAACUGAAUAUUGAAUACAGGAUGACUUCCAUGUCCAUGCAAACAGUCCAUACCUGCAUGAGCUGAAUGGCAAAUACGUCACUGACUGUCAUCUUAUCAAGGUCUUGGCACCUUUUGUUAAAUUCAUCAAAAGGAGGACAAACUCCAGCUUGCUUAAGCUGUUCCUCAGAGAGAUCUUUGUAAUAUUUAAAAAUUGCUUCAGUAAGAUAACCGUACUUCCUCAAGGUUUCAGUCACGUUUCCGGUUCUCUGAACAUCAAAGCCCUCCAAGAGUUCGGUUGUGAAGCAACUGCAUAAGAUAUAAAUUUUUUAACAUGGAUUCAAAUAAUACUAUUAUUUUUUAUUUAUCUUUUGAAGGCAUAAAGGAUAAUAAUAAUUAUAACUGUUUAACAAGGAUUCAAUAAUAAAAUAUAAAAUGCUCCUUUCAACUACUAGCACAAAGGAAGAUGAUAUCAGCAAAAUGACAGAUAUGGUCAUAAACUUGAAGCCAAACUGAAAACGCCGUCUGAUAUGUACAUCCAUAUCUACCAAGGGAAAAAGGAGACUAAACUUGCAACAUACAAGGAAUGAUAAAGAGCAAAUUAUAUGUUGCCUACUCUAUGAUUUGUUAAUAACAACUUCAUGAAAAUUAUAUAAGGUGUUAAAGUAUAAAUGUAGACCCAUUUAACCGAACCAGAACUAGCAAUACUAUCAAUUUUUAACUAAGACUUCAACAAUCUGCCCACUUCAGCGACCAUAAUGGAUUACCCACACGAGAAUUAAACACAAUGUUUGCUGUUUUGUUUGCUUUUUCUCAUAAGAAAAAUCUAAUUUCCACACAAUAAAAAGUUUAACAAUAUCAAGAAGGAAAAUACAAAACAUUCUGAAACCAACUUUAGAUGUUCAUGGUCAAAAAGCUUUCACCGUAAUAUUAUAUAUGAACAUGGUGCUUCAAUUUGAACAUCUGAAGUUUGAGAUUGGCUGAAUUUUUCAAGGGAUUACAAAGAUUGAAUAAUAGUAUAUGGUGCUGAGUCUAUGAUGUAUACCAGGCCCAAAGCAUUUCUUUGCGGUUUCAUUGCAGAAACUGUACAUCUCAAACAACUAAAGCACAGCAAACCAAUUGCAUGACGAUGACUGAAAGCAUUUAAUUAAGCUGAAAUGGCAUCUGCUUUGGUAUGAUGGACAAAUUUUUUAUUUUUUAUUCUUCUGUGCAACUCCUUUUUUUGUAUCUAAAAUGAUAUAAUAGAGAUUACUACAAAGGCUUGUCUGUAACCUCUUUAUUAAGCUCAGGCCCAGACUGAUGAUUCAACCAAGCCAAGCUCAACCAAAAUAUGAACAAUAAGUAUUCAACCGUCACAAAAUGAACAAUAAUUACACGGGUGUUGGUCAUACUGAAAAACAAGGUCUAAGAAAAAUUAUUAUGUAGUCACAAAUUGAUUUCUUACUUUACACACGAUAUUCAAUUUAAAUAGAAGUACCUAUAAUCAAGUAGGAAAACUAUAGCCAUAAAAAAAAAUUUAAAUAAAUGCUUACGCUGUUUUGAUGCUUUCUGCUGCUUCACAAGAAUUUGGAUCACCUUCCACGAGAUAUAUCAGCUUCUUAAGUCCACACCUCUGAUAAUAAGUAAAUUAGGGUGUCAGGAUCUAGUAAAAUAACAUUGCCUAUAAAGUUCAAGACAACACAACUACACAAACAUUUCCAUUCCAAAAAUCUCAAAUGUUGAUCCAAAAACCAACUUUAAACAAGAUACUCAAUGUCAACCAUAGCUUAGCUCCUACUUCACAUGCUGAUAAAGAUGAUUAAAUCUAUCAAAUAAAUUCCAUACCAAAAGUCUGAGUUUUUGGUCCCUGUAACGGUUGUCUCUGAUUGAACAGCGUAAAUCAUCAACAUUCUUCCUCUCAACAAUAAAAUCAAGUACAUACUCACUCUGAAGACGUUUAUGCCGAGCUAUCCAAAUCCCAUCUCCAACUGGUAACCGCCUAACCUGUAAAAGUGUCAGUUUGUUUCUUACUAUUUACUUUGUAAAUAAGAAUUAGGAAACUCAUCCUUUAAUGCUUCAUAGUCUAGGAUGGUUUUCCUACUUGUAAAAGCAGAUUACUGAAUCACCAUUCAUUCUAACUUCAUGGUUUUUUUUUAAGUAUUCAAGGAUAAAUUUUGUAAUGAUCUUGAAUAUGAACUAUGAUUGCAUUACUGUAAAUGGUUAUAACACAAGACAAUGAUCCUCUUUCCUAGAUUCUUCAUUAUUUCAACCUUAAUAUAUAUUGUUUAUAUUUCAUGCAAAGAAAUAAACAAGUGACAGAAGGCAAAACCAAAAGUUGCUAUUUUUGUGAAACAGAAUUUUGUGGAAAUCAGUACAAUUUUCCAAUAAUAAAAAAUUUAACAUAAUAAAGAACAAUAAGUCAAUAACUUACCUGUACUGUGAUUUUGCAUCCAGAUAUAACACUCUCAAUAAUGCUCCUAGACCGUGAUCUAAAACAACAACAUACAAUUAAUCACACCAGUUAUAAGCACCAGCAAAGACAGUGGGCAAAAGAAUAGGAGUGCACAAUACCCAUGAUAAAUAAAAAUCUGACAGUAAGCAUAAUGAGACAAAAAUUAUCACUACUUAGCAGAUGGCUUUCAGACUAACAUUAAGGCCCCUCAACAUUUUUUUUUCUCGUCACUAAAGUACUAUGUCAUUUAUCUGAAUGAGAUCCUUGGACUAGUUGAUUGGUUCAAAAAUAUCCUUAGCAAAUGGAGAUAUGUACAGCUUAAACCGUACAACCCCACAUCUCAUGUUUUAAGCUCUACGUUUUUGGAAACUGACCAUCAACAUAUAUCAUGAAAAUUAAAAAAUACAACCAUAUGGCUUACUUGGUCUGCAUUUUUUAUUUCUGUAAAUUAACCUGUUUAAAGAAGUAAAAAGUAUAUAUAACAACAGGAAAAGAAGGUUUCACCCUCAAUCUUUUUUGUUUCAGCACAUGUAAUUUGAUAUAGUAGAGAUAGAGUAUUGCUGGCCUGUAGUCAUCCCUAACUAAGACAAACGGACAAGUGCAAGCAAUGGUUCUACAGUCAGGUUGCUAAAAAGAGUAUUUAUUGAAUUGACCACAACUGGCUUGAUCAUAUAAAUAAUAAGAAGUUUCAGAAUAAAAUUAAGCAGAUGCUACUCACAUCUGAGUGGCCAAUUGUUCUCGAUCAUCCAAUACAAAGAUUAAUUCAUAUGCAUCUUCAAAUUUCUCCCCAAAGCUUAAAGGUGGCACGGACAAAGCUUUCAAACUUGCUUCAACACCGGCCAAACUAGACUUUGUCACAGGACAACUCUAAGAAAACCAGAAAGCCAAUGAGCAACAUAAAACAAUAAGUAGUGUUCAAUAAUCUUGCAACAAUUGACAUUCAAAUAUAGAAAAAAAAGCUUUAUAACCACCCUAUUGUUCCAUUUUACAAAUACACCAACCAUAAAUUCAGCUAUGGCCCCUAUAGUAGUAUUUUUAGUGCAACUGCACUAUUUUGGCACAUUCACUUUGACAGGAUCAUUUUCAGAAGCAUAAUAAUACAAAGACAGCAGCAAAUUUUAGAAACAAAUGGUCCAGCUCCAAAGAUUCUAUGUCUCAGGACACAGGGUUCGGCACCAUAGGCAUAGGGCUGAAACCUGAAACUCUACCAGUGACAUAUGGAGGUGCUAUAUUCACUUAAGAUUGAUCCAUCCUACUUAUUACUACACUAAAUUUUGGGUCAGUUACAUUCCGAUCCAAAACUUCUACUUUUAACAAACAGCAACCUAUUAGUCAAUUGUAAAACUUUUGACCUCAACCCUUUGAAGAUCAGUUUGAGUUAAGUAAUUACAUAGUUGUAAAAAAUAAAAAUACACAAAUUACCUAUAUGACACCUAUAAAAGCUCCUCCCAGUUUUGGCAGUAUUGGUUUAAAGAAUGUAAGCCAUUCAUGGGUUGAUGAUUGGACUGAUGAUCAAGUGCUGAAGAUACAAAAAUUUUACAAUUUUGAACAGUCAGUUGCAAUGUCUUAAUUCUAUACUUAAGAGUAGGGGUAAAAUAAAAUGACUCUAAAGCACAAGAAUAACAGUUUUUAGCCCUAACAGUGUAACUCUCAUUUGCCCUCUACUCCUCUAAAAGGAAGAAAGAAAAACAUACAAGAAAUGAAGGAGCUCCCAUCGUAGACGACUUUGAUGCAACCUUGUCAGAAUUUAUCUUUCGUGUAGGACCUCCAUCCCGAGAAGUGUUGGGCGGUCUACUCUCACUCCCUACACAUUCUCUAUCACCUGAAAAAAUUAAGGAGCUGUAUUAGAGAGUAAUCCAUUAUUUAAGAGAAGUCGGGCAAUUUCAAAAGCAUUUGGCACCACAAGAGAAGCUUAUUACCAUUUCCAAGAAUAUGAGUGGACGAUGUUGCCUGACGAUUUCCCCUUACGCUUUGGGACUUCAUGUGCAAACCAUAAACCUCAUCUUCUCGAAGGCGACAAAGAACUGAUGGCCAUAUUGAAGAGAUUUCCUUGAUAUGGGAAGUCUCUGAAGCUUCACUAAUAGCUCGGUUGAUUCGCUCCUCAGAAUACCCCAUGUGUGUAAACUAAAGAAAAAAAAAUGAAUUGAGAGAAAAUUUCUGAUCAAUUAAGUGAAACUAACAGUAAAGGGCUCUAUGACCAAAAGAAGCAAAAGGCUGCAAUAAUUCAUGUAUAUCUUAGGGUCAAAUUCAAUUGAAAUUGUAAAGACAAAAUGCGAAAAGAUCCGUAUCAUGUGAAUCUUUCUUAAAUCUCAAUAUACUUGAACACAAAGAAAAAUGAGUAGAUAUGAGCACUUAAAAAAGAAAGAAGGCGCAGAUUAAUUUUACUGUGCUUGUUUAUCUAAAGCAUAGAUUUUUGGGAUCAACUACAACUAUUACCUCGUUUUUCAUGGACAAUCAAGAUUAAAAAUAAAGUGACACUAUCAGCAGUUUGUCGACCACCCUCACAAAAAACAAAAAAAAAAAACAAAAGAAACAGAAAUUUAAAGUACCAUUGACUAUUCCAAUAUUUUUGUUUCUAAUCUUUGGGAGUAGCACAGUCAAAUGGGGUUUCUAAUGCCUGUGAAUGUCUUUAUUUACUAUUUCUAUACUUAUCCAUCACAAAUAUCCAUUGCAUCUGCAGUCUGAAAGCUAGGGAGAAAUCAAACUCUUUAUUCUCAUUCAACUGAUCAAACAUAACUUAAUCCAGCUCAUAGGUGUCAGUGCAGAACUUAUAAUUUUCUUUGCAAAGAAAAGCAACCGUAUCGGCUUAUAAGCAAGCAGAACAGAGGCCAUGACACGACAGGAUAUUGUGGACAACAACGUAAACCGUAUGAGGGAAGAUGCCAACUAAGCCAAGCUACUGAGAUACAAUCUUAACUUAUAAAUUAAACUAUGAAAGAAUGGUACUGAGAAGUAAAUAUUAAGUAUGAAAAUGGAAACAGAUUAUGGUUCCCGGCUACAAUUCAAGAUAAUAAUGAAACAUCAUUUUGAUAAAUACCUUGUCAAGAUAUUCCUGUGGAAUAUCAAUUGAGUUUUUAUUCCUACUUGAAUUACAGGAGAACAAUGUCAGAUCUGUGACCGAUUCAGGACUAGAAAGUUCCUGACGUGAAAUGUCAACAUCCAUGAUAGACAACUCCUUGGCAUUAGAAAUUAUUUCUGCAGGAGUCGCCAAACCAGAUCUCAUGAGACAUUCACGAGCAGCCUCCUUACCUUCUUGAGUAAGCAUGUACCUACAGUUUGUACAAGCAUUAUAUACCUGAUAAUAGUGCAUAUAUGAUCAAGUGAAACUCUAGAAUAUUGAGGUCUAAGUGCAUAAAAACUUGCUUGAUACAUGAUUUCUCAGCAUUCAUUUAAGAGAAGAAGAGUAAAAAAUCCUGCUGUAACUAACUUGAUCACAAACAAGGUUCCAGCUCUUAAUCAAUUAUUUUCCAUAAGCUAAUUAAGAACUUAAGUACCUUAUACCUAACAACCAAACAUGUGUGAAUAAGCCUCCAGACAAAACAUGCUUUGAUUAAACAGAAUCAGACUAAGACUCAUCAACUUUAAAAUAAACUGCACACUAUAGUUGAGCCGCAAUUCAUCAUUUAAAUCAAAGUAUAGCUUUCCUACUAGAUUAUUUUCUAGAAACAAAUGCUUUCAUAAGUAAAAUAUAUGUAUAAAUAUACAUACAUAUAUAAACAUUUUAAAGAAAAAAAAAAAAAAAAAAAAGGUGUAUUAAUUUCUAGUUAGCAAAUAAUGUAAUGUAAUGCUCCCUAAAAUUUUACUCGGAGGAAGGGUACAGCUCUAGUCAUUAAAAUUUACAAAUUUCAGAAACAAAAACUGGUUUAAGAUAAAUACAUAAUAUCUUUUCAACAAAACAAAACAAGAGAAUGCAAUGUACGAUAAAAGCCAUACUUUGCUGGGCAACUUGAUUUCACAACCAGUCCCUUGGUUAGUAAUGUCUUCAUGCAGGACCAACCACUAUACCAUUCCCUUGUAGAAUUUCUGGGGUGUGCAGGUAUUCCCUUUCCCUUCUCUGGCCUAAGAACAACAAAUUGGGUCUCAACGCCAUGCACACGUAACACAAGUGGAAACAAGUUACAAGACACUAAUAUAAUGUAAUAAACAUACAUGAUUGGCACACGAGAUAGUCCACUUGCUUCUGCUGCAUCAAUGAGCUCCUGUUUACGCAUGAAGUCAUUCCCACUUUCAGUUCCCCUGAUGAAAACUCAUUGUUAACUCCAACUUCAAAGAAUGUGACAAGAAAUUCAAUUACAAAUUACAGCUGAUUUAGUGCUUGGCUAAAUAAAAACCCAAUUUACCUGUAAAGUGUUAUCAGUAAAGCAUAUGCUACAGAAUUCUUUUGUGGAACAUAGCGUUUUUUCGUUCUCUUACCUACAAAAAGAACAUGUCCAUAACGGACAACAACAAGAAGGAAUAUACAAUGCAAUCUAUGAAAACAGUGUAAAGCCAAGGAGAUAUGAUAGAAGUACCCUCUUUAGUUACAUCUUCUGGUUCAGAGCUGCCUGAACCGGUGUCAAAAAACCCUUGCAUAAGCUUCAAAAUCCACUUCCCAACACCCCUACACCAGAAUAUGAGCAUUGCAAAAAUCAGUCCACUGUUAUAGAAUGUGAAAAUAAAAAAAUAUUGAUAGAUUUCCAACAAAUAAGAUUUUUCUUGUCCCUGCUUUAUGCAAGUAUGGAUAGCUCACUUUCAUUGUUUUGCUUCCUAUACAAGUUUUGAUAUCUCCCUUUCACUCUCAAGCUUCCUACACAAGUUUUCAAAGAUCCUUUUCAUUCUUUAGCGUCCUAUGUGUAGACCUCUCUAUAUAACUGAGUUAUAGUAGGAUACAAAUAUUCAUAUUGAUCAUGGAACAAUACUAAUUUAACAAAUCAUACAAUCCACACAACUAGUAACAGAAAGUAGAGAACCAAAAACUAAUGAAACUGAAUUCUAAGGUUCGUAUGAACAAUUAAACAAAAGCAUGUGUAAUAUAGUUAAACUUUUAAGCCAAUACAGAAUAAUCUUCGACAAAAACUAAAUGGUAACACCAAUGAAGAUCCAAAAGACCUUUAAAAACUUUAAAACAAGCUUACAACUCACUUGACUUGGGAAAAUUCUUUGAGGGUUUUAACAGGGUUCUUAGAGUUGCAGACAUUGGAGUAAGCCUUAGUCAGAGUCUUCUCAAUGUUUUCGGAGAUUCCAUUGGGCUUCUUGUCGGCCAUCUCCUGCCACUUACUCAACAUGUAAUCCGCCAGUGCUCCAUUCUCAGAGCACACCACCAACCGCUUGUGCUGCUCCAUCGAUACCGAAAAAGAUCACUCUUAUCUGUCAGAUUCAACAGGCAAUGUGCAAAAUUACAUGGCAGGAGAACAUAUUAGUCUCUAAAUGUCCAUUUCUGUUGGUGAAAUGUGGAGUCUUGGUUUUAUGAUCAUCUAUUAUGCAUAUCAAUAUACAAACAUAUGUUUCUUUCUCAUCUUUAUGCAGUCACUAAAACGGGAAGAGCAUGUAACCAAAAGAAAAGGGGGACAAAAUAAAAGUUGCAGAAGUAACUGAUUUUGAAAACAAACUGAAUCAUUUUGUAGUCCAUUUCCAUGAUUUAGUACUAACUUUUUACCCAAAAAUCAAUUGGUCUAGUUACCAAAUCUCCACUUUCUGGUGUUUUGUUUUGACAUUACUGAAAAGUUACAGCGAGGAAGUCUAAUACAAGUAGAUAUGCAAUGUAAAAGACUUAGUAGAAAAAAAAAAAAGAAGUACAUAAGUUUGAUACCCGUGAUGUAACAAAAUUAUGAGCAAUACAUUCCCGAAAUACACAAUCACAAACCCGGCAAUGAAAGCACCCACAUUCAAACUCCAAUAUGAAUUUGUUAACUCUUAGCACACCCCUAACACAAUAUAACACGAUACUAUUUCACCCUGCACUCAUGUUGUGAACUAAGCAGACCAAGUUACGCACUUACGCGAUAAUGUACAUUAUCAAACACCUUUGGCACUUAUACCUUCAAGCUUCAAAUACCAAGUACCAACAGUUAUGUCUACAAAAACUGAGUAUCAAGGAUCACAAAUCAGUCUAGAUGAUUAUUGUACAUCUAAUAAGUAUUUGGUCAUCAUACUACACAGCUAAACAUCAUCAAGCUUGCACCUUUCGAGAAAAAAAAAAAAAAAUCAACUUUAAAAGAUAAUUAGAUUUUUCUGGAAAAAUUUCAUGAUAUUCAAUUUGUUUAUAAGUUUUUCAGUCUGUAGUUAAUAGAACACAAAUCUAAACACCACUGUUGAGUAGUACUAGCUAUCGAAGGCUGAAAUUAACCCACCAAAGUAGCAAACACCGAAACCAAUACCAAAAUCAGAUAACCAAAAAUGCAGAAACCCAAUAGAAAGAGUGAGAAUUUUGAACUGACCUGAACUGGCCUUGUGGAAUUUGAGACCCCAAUUUUGAAUCGGAAGCUUUGUAAAUUUGGGCAAAUCAAAUAUGGAGAAAAAAUGGGCUGCUAUGUGGGUUUUGGAAACGGAUGACAGCGGCUUAUAUACUGGUCCGGUGAAGCAUAAAUAAAGUCAGAAAUCUGGUGAAGCAUAAAUAUGAAAGCAAAGUCAUAAAACCCGGAUAACCGCUUCACUACACAUAAACACGAAUAACCACCCGUCCCCAAAAUGUCGAUUACCAUUCAUAAAACCCAGAUAAUAAAAACAAGCAAAGUCAUAAUCUUGGCCAAAGCAGAGUGAAUUACACUAGUUUAACAAGUGGGUAUUGAAAUAACCCAUGUUUCUGAAAACCCAGUAACAUAAGAAAAUCGAUCACUACCAUAUCUAGAAUUCUCAUAUAGAUCAAUACCCAAAACGAAAAACCAAAUCUUUCGGGGAAAAGCAAAGCAGAAACAAAGAAAUUAACAAGCCCCGAAUAAAACGUACCUGGGGCUAUUCGGUUUUGGGUGGAAUUGGAUGGAACUAGGGUUUUUAGUGAUCAAGAUUGAAGAGGAAGGAAGAGUGAGAAUGACGACGUUUUGGGAGGGAAAGUAGGGGUUUUAAGCCCGCUAUGAAUUUUGAUACCUUAUUUUUCACGGAGGCACCUAUAUAGCAGUGAAGCCUCACCGCCGUUGAGUUAACAGUGCGUGCAUUGCACGCGCCUGUUAGUAGGAAAAAAAGAAAGGAAGGAAAAUGCAUAUUUGCACAUAAACAAAUAUUUUAAAACUCGUUCAAUGAAAAUAAGACUUCAUAACCCAUCUUAAUAAAACUAAGCAAGAGGAUGACAUUGCCCUUGCUACAAUUCAACUAAAUCUCUCUCCUCGUUUCACAUCCCGAUCUAAAUUCUUCUCUCUCUCUCUCUCUCUCUCUCUCUCUCUCUCUCUCUCUCUCUCUCUCUCUCUCUCUCUCUCUCUCUCUCUCUCUCUCUCUCUCUCUCUCUCUCUCUCUCUCUCUCUCAUUGUCGGCGAUGUCUAUCAACGAUGCGGACGACUAUCACCGAUCAGAUCUGGACUCCUAGGAUUCGUUUUCAAGAGCUAAUCUGGGUGUGCGACGUCGCUCCUCGCCACGGUUCUAGAAUCCGGCUUUGAUAGGAUCCGAUUGAGAGAAGGGAGACGAAACGAGCUUAUGGUCUGAGGUGCUAGUGGUCCAACUCAAUCUGCGGGCUACUGGACAUUUUCACCGUCGUUUAGGGUUUUAGUCAUCACGUGUUUGUCGACGAGAGGAGCUUGAACGACAUCGCAGGAGCUAAUCCCUUGUGAGAUCUGGCCUCGCAAUCAUUUUGGAGUCCGAGCGUCGACCAGUACUGGCCUUGCCGGCGGGAAGAGCCGAUGGAGACUCUUUCAUCUACUGUCCCACCCUUCCAUCGAUGUCAGAGAAGAAAUCAGUCGGAAAAUCCAGAAUUUGUAAGUUGUAGAGAUUUCGGUCAAGUUCUUCAAGGGGUAAUAAAGUUUUACUAUGGGUAAUAAAUUUAGGGAAGUUUAUUGCCCCCCAGUAAAAUCUCAGUUGAGGUUUUUUUGGCCCCCAGCAAAACAUUUUUCAUUAUUACUCCCCCUUAAUAAGUUUUUAUUAACCUCAAUAGAAGUUUAUUGCCCCCAAUAAAAUCUCAGUAUAAGUUCAUUGCCCCCUAACAAAACAUCUUUCAUCAUUACUACCCCUCAAUAAGUUUUUAUUAACCUCAAUAGAAGUUUAUUGCUCCCAAUAAAAUCUCAGUAGAAGUUUAUUUCUCCCCAACAAAACAUUGUUCAUCAUUACUACCCCUCAAUAAGUUUUUAUUAACAUCAAUAGUAGUUUAUUGCCCCUAGUAAAAUCUCAGUUGAAGUUUAUUGCCCCCCAGUAAAAUAUUUUUCGUCAUUACUGCCCUCAAUUAAACUUCAGCAAUGGUGCGGUAUGCUUCCGGUAAGGUCUAGUAGAUUCCGGUGACAUUUUUAUAAAUAAAAAAAAAUCCAGCGAGAUUCCCACGAUCAGCGAGAUUCCAGUCACCAUUGACCGGAGUUCGGUGAGGUUUCGGCCCAAUCUUCUCUCUCUUCCAUUUUCUCUCUUUAUGCAUGUUUAAAGGAUGAUGGCAAAAUAGUUCUAAAAUAAUAUUAUUUGUUAAGACUUUAAGUAAAAAUUUGUUUAUUUGGACAUAAAAGAAGCUACCUUAUAUUCAAAUGGGCUCAUGAAAAAGAUUGUCAUUGAAAUGAGCAAUGAGGGGCUAAAAUUAGUACUAAAUGAGCAUUUUCUAAAAAAAAUGACACCAAAUAGAAGCAGCUCGGAGCUGCUGGCCUUAACGGAUAUUCUUUCCCAGAAUUUUAUCACAAAGAUAAUAAAGUGGUUUGCUCCAUGUUUUCUACAAUGCACAAGUAAAUAAAACGCCCCAUAACUUCACAUGCAAUAUGCAACCCUAAGUUUAAAAGUAACAAAAUCUGUAAUGCUAUAAACGUGAACUCUGUAUCCGGAUCCUUAUAUAAACCAUGCAACAGAGUAAUCGGCCCCCAACAACAAAAGCUAAAGCACAAAGAGCUAGCUAGAGGUAUGGAAAUGCUCAAUCUUCGUUUCAUAGCUUUAGCUGCUGUUGCUGUGUUUGGAAUUCUAUUCACUAGUGAACUUGAUGUGGUUCUGGGGCAAGCCGCUUGUCAAGGUGACAUGCAGGGUCUGAUAACGCAAUGUGAACCUUAUGUUAUGAAGGGCAGUUUGUUGCCGCCAACGGGAUCUGAAGGAUGCUGCGCUGCGAUAAAAACGUUAGACAUUCCAUGCGCGUGCCAGCACGUGACCAAGGUGGUCGAGACGGUGGUUGACAUGGGCAAGGUGGUUAAGGUCGUCAGGUCCUGCGGUAUCCCUGUUCCUGAAGGAAUGAAGUGUGGAAGUAAGAUCCCAAAUUAACCUCUUUCUCAUAGCUAUAAUAUACACAACGGAUCUAGUGCCUAAUUUGACAUAUUUAUAGUUGAUAAUGGCUCUCAUAAGUUUGGUUAUUCACUGCAGGUUAUACAGUUCCACCGGGAAGUCGUUAGUGAUCGUAUGUGUAUCAAAGUUAAACAGAGUGCUAGUUGAAAUAAAGACACAGAUGUUCCUGUCGAAAAAUGUAAUCUGAAAAAGUUUAUAUAAAAUCUAUGGAUUAAUCCAAUAUUUACUAUGUUAAUUAGUGAUUGAUUCGUGAUAGCUAGCUAGGUUGUGCACUUGUGCAUGAUGCAAACGAAUUCUCCGUAAUCAUUACAGUACACUUUUGAAAACUGUGAAAAGGGUGGUGUUGAAGGGUACUUGAGAGUUAGCUAGAGUGAGAAAACUUGCAUUUCUUUCUGUAGGGACCCCUUCUAGUGAGGACCCUUAAGAUCAGGACUUGGUGAUAACUUUUCAGUUUAUGGUUUAAAAGACCCAAUUUUCGAUCACAUUUUGACAUCUUAUCCGUUCAGUUUUUAGGUUUAUAUGAGUAGAUUAUUUCUACAAAUUUUCACCCAAAUUGAUGUUCGUUAAGAUAACAAACAGUAGAAAAUAAGGAUUCAAUAUGGUUUGAUAUGCUUCAAUGUAUUAUUCUUCUCCAUAUAGGAGGUUUAUAUAGAGAUACAAUUGUAGUGUUAAUAGGAAAAUAUUUCCUACACCUAUACAUAAUAUUCAACCUACACAUACAAGGAAAGUAAAUAUAUUUAAUAUAUUCUACACUCCCCCUCAAGUUGGUGCAUAGAUAUCGAUCAUGCCCAACUUGCCAACCGAGUUGUCAAACACUUUCCUUGACACUCCUUUUAUGAGAACAUCUGCUAAUUGAUCUUCCGUAUACACGAAAGAGAAACGAAUGAUUUUCCUGUCCAAGUUUUCCUUAAUGAAAUGUCGAUCUACCUCCACAUGUUUUGUCCGGUCAUGUUGAACAGGAUUAUGAGCAAUUUCAAUAGCAGACGUGCUGUCACAAUGCAAGUCCAUGGUUUCUGAGUUGAACCAUUCUUUCAAUACAUUACGAAUCCAUAGCAUCUCACAACUCCAUGUGCCAUACCUNNNNNNNNNNNNNNNNNNNNNNNNNNNNNNNNNNNNNNNNNNNNNNNNNNNNNNNNNNNNNNNNNNNNNNNNNNNNNNNNNNNNNNNNNNNNNNNNNNNNNNNNNNNNNNNNNNNNNNNNNNNNNNNNNNNNNNNNNNNNNNNNNNNNNNNNNNNNNNNNNNNNNNNNNNNNNNNNNNNNNNNNNNNNNNNNNNNNNNNNNNNNNNNNNNNNNNNNNNNNNNNNNNNNNNNNNNNNNNNNNNNNNNNNNNNNNNNNNNNNNNNNNNNNNNNNNNNNNNNNNNNNNNNNNNNNNNNNNNNNNNNNNNNNNNNNNNNNNNNNNNNNNNNNNNNNNNNNNNNNNNNNNNNNNNNNNNNNNNNNNNNNNNNNNNNNNNNNNNNNNNNNNNNNNNNNNNNNNNNNNNNNNNNNNNNNNNNNNNNNNNNNNNNNNNNNNNNNNNNNNNNNNNNNNNNNNNNNNNNNNNNNNNNNNNNNNNNNNNNNNNNNNNNNNNNNNNNNNNNNNNNNNNNNNNNNNNNNNNNNNNNNNNNNNNNNNNNNNNNNNNNNNNNNNNNNNNNNNNNNNNNNNNNNNNNNNNNNNNNNNNNNNNNNNNNNNNNNNNNNNNNNNNNNNNNNNNNNNNNNNNNNNNNNNNNNNNNNNNNNNNNNNNNNNNNNNNNNNNNNNNNNNNNNNNNNNNNNNNNNNNNNNNNNNNNNNNNNNNNNNNNNNNNNNNNNNNNNNNNNNNNNNNNNNNNNNNNNNNNNNNNNNNNNNNNNNNNNNNNNNNNNNNNNNNNNNNNNNNNNNNNNNNNNNNNNNNNNNNNNNNNNNNNNNNNNNNNNNNNNNNNNNNNNNNNNNNNNNNNNNNNNNNNNNNNNNNNNNNNNNNNNNNNNNNNNNNNNNNNNNNNNNNNNNNNNNNNNNNNNNNNNNNNNNNNNNNNNNNNNNNNNNNNNNNNNNNNNNNNNNNNNNNNNNNNNNNNNNNNNNNNNNNNNNNNNNNNNNNNNNNNNNNNNNNNNNNNNNNNNNNNNNNNNNNNNNNNNNNNNNNNNNNNNNNNNNNNNNNNNNNNNNNNNNNNNNNNNNNNNNNNNNNNNNNNNNNNNNNNNNNNNNNNNNNNNNNNNNNNNNNNNNNNNNNNNNNNNNNNNNNNNNNNNNNNNNNNNNNNNNNNNNNNNNNNNNNNNNNNNNNNNNNNNNNNNNNNNNNNNNNNNNNNNNNNNNNNNNNNNNNNNNNNNNNNNNNNNNNNNNNNNNNNNNNNNNNNNNNNNNNNNNNNNNNNNNNNNNNNNNNNNNNNNNNNNNNNNNNNNNNNNNNNNNNNNNNNNNNNNNNNNNNNNNNNNNNNNNNNNNNNNNNNNNNNNNNNNNNNNNNNNNNNNNNNNNNNNNNNNNNNNNNNNNNNNNNNNNNNNNNNNNNNNNNNNNNNNNNNNNNNNNNNNNNNNNNNNNNNNNNNNNNNNNNNNNNNNNNNNNNNNNNNNNNNNNNNNNNNNNNNNNNNNNNNNNNNNNNNNNNNNNNNNNNNNNNNNNNNNNNNNNNNNNNNNNNNNNNNNNNNNNNNNNNNNNNNNNNNNNNNNNNNNNNNNNNNNNNNNNNNNNNNNNNNNNNNNNNNNNNNNNNNNNNNNNNNNNNNNNNNNNNNNNNNNNNNNNNNNNNNNNNNNNNNNNNNNNNNNNNNNNNNNNNNNNNNNNNNNNNNNNNNNNNNNNNNNNNNNNNNNNNNNNNNNNNNNNNNNNNNNNNNNNNNNNNNNNNNNNNNNNNNNNNNNNNNNNNNNNNNNNNNNNNNNNNNNNNNNNNNNNNNNNNNNNNNNNNNNNNNNNNNNNNNNNNNNNNNNNNNNNNNNNNNNNNNNNNNNNNNNNNNNNNNNNNNNNNNNNNNNNNNNNNNNNNNNNNNNNNNNNNNNNNNNNNNNNNNNNNNNNNNNNNNNNNNNNNNNNNNNNNNNNNNNNNNNNNNNNNNNNNNNNNNNNNNNNNNNNNNNNNNNNNNNNNNNNNNNNNNNNNNNNNNNNNNNNNNNNNNNNNNNNNNNNNNNNNNNNNNNNNNNNNNNNNNNNNNNNNNNNNNNNNNNNNNNNNNNNNNNNNNNNNNNNNNNNNNNNNNNNNNNNNNNNNNNNNNNNNNNNNNNNNNNNNNNNNNNNNNNNNNNNNNNNNNNNNNNNNNNNNNNNNNNNNNNNNNNNNNNNNNNNNNNNNNNNNNNNNNNNNNNNNNNNNNNNNNNNNNNNNNNNNNNNNCCAAACAAGAGGCACGGACAACUUCAAGCAACUGUCCGUAUUUUUCCUCUCUGCCAAUCCAUUUGUUGAGGAGUAUAAGUAUUUGAAGUCUGAUGUCGAAUUCCAUGUAACUUCAUAACUCUUGCAUAUGACCAUUAAUAUAUUCUCCGCCAUUGUCAGACUGGAAAACUUGAACAUCCUGUUGAUACUGUGUGGACACCAUCUUGUGAAAUUCUUUGAAUCUAGAAUAAACAUCACUCUUGUUUUUCAAUAGAGACACCCAAGUCGUACGGGUACAAUCAUCAAUAAACGUCACAAAAUAUCGGGCGCCAGAGAGAGAAGGAAUUUCUGCAGGACCCCACACGUCAGAGUGAAUCUUCAUAAAUGGAAUAAAACUUUUAUUUAGGCUUGGUGAAUAUGAAAUACGGUGGCUCUUGGCUAGUUCACAUAUGUCGCAAUGAAAAUCUGAAUAGUUGACACCCGAAAAUAAUUGCGGUUGCAGCUUCUUAAGAUAACCGAAGUUUAGAUGACCCAACCUGCGGUGCCAAAGCCACACACCUUUCUUCGCACUCUCAGCUCUAUUGACCUGAUUAGCUUGACCCAAAGACUGCAUAUGUUUCUCUCCUGUCUCUGUUAGAUCUAGGUAGUACAAUUUCCCUUUUCUCACUCCAUAACCCAAAAUCCGCCGUGUCAGAAUGUCCUGAAAUACACAGAAAGACGGAUAAAAGGUGACAAUACAUGAUAAUUCUUGAAUGAUUUGGUCAACUGAGAGAAGAUUGUAUGACAAUGAAGGGACGACUAAUACAGAAUCAAGGGUUAAUGUGUUUGAUAGGACAAUAGAGCCUUCUCCGGUAACCAGAGUUGGAGUACCAUCAGCAAUAGAAACAAUAUUUUGAGAGGAGGGUUUUAAUUUUUUUAAGAGGCUAGGAUCAUUACACAUGUGAUCUGAUGCUCCUGUAUCAAUAAUCCAGGACCUAUUCAUAGAUACCUUACCACUCAUACCUGACUGUGUGACAUUGGAGGCAUUGGAUGGUUGGUCUUCCUCUGUAGUGGUUAUGACAGUUUUUGCUUGAUUCUUUCGGGGUUUCAGGGUGAAAUCCCACCAAUUCGGGUACCCAAUUGUUUCAAAGCAACGUUGCUUGCUAUGACCUAAUACUCCACAUAGCGGACAUUUUGAGUUUGCAUAUGAAUUUGGUUUGCAUGGAGACCGGCAUGGUGUGGUGGUAUGGUAGUUGAUUUGGUGUGCCAUUUUGGAGGUUUGGUUUUUGAGAUACAAGGAUUCGGGAAUUAUGAUUUUGUUUGUAACGAUUUGUUUGUAGUGUGAUUCGGGAUUCAGGUUUGGUCUUGGGAUUUGAGAAUUUGUGUGUGAUUUGUGAGAUUUUUGGUACGCAGCGAUUUGUGGUGUUUUGGGUGUAAAUUGAAAGGAUCGAACCUGGCAAGCUCUGAUGCCAAGUAGAAAAUAAGGAUUCAAUAUGGUUUGCUAUGCUUCAAUGUAUUAUUCUUCUCCAUAUAGGAGGUUUAUAUAGAGAUACAAUUGUAGUGUUAAUAGGAAAAUAUUUCCUACACCUAUACAUAAUAUUCAACCUACACAUACAAGGAAAGUAAAUAUAUUUAAUAUAUUCUACACAAACUAGAUCAGAUUAAUGGACAAACCAAAUCUGUCAAAUAUGAACCGUUCAAGUUCAUAAUUGAUAAAUCACACUUAUGAAUGUCUUAACAAUUUUUCAAUAUAGCUGAAAAUUUGAAAAAAUGAUCUACUCAUAAAUAUCUAUAAACUGAACGGUCAAGAUGUAGAUAUAAGAUCGAAAGGUGGGAUAAGCCGAAAAGUCCUCAUCAAGUCCUCAACUUAAGGGUUCUCACUAGAAUGGCUUCCUCUUUCUGUAUGUGGCAAAUCCAAUACUCCAAUAAGACUUGGAUUUCCAUCAAAUCCAAAUCGCGUCACUUUGAUGGUUGGCGCGGAGGAUUAAUUGGAGGGGAAGACGACUAAUUUUAACUAAAAUUAACAGAUACAAUAAAAUAGACGUGACUACAAUUAAGAAAAAAAAAAAAAUAAUAUAUAUAUAUAUAUAACAAGAAAAACAAGCUAUCAUAAGCAAAAGCUAGUUGGAAAGCCAAGAAAUGCACUGCAUAUAUCAAUUCAACAACAAAACUGUAGUAGUAAUCGUAACCAUGAUCAUAAUUGUAACUUAGGAGAUGAGGAUUAAAUUUGUUUUUCAUUUUUUCUUUUUAUAUUAAUGUCGCUUCUUCUAAAAAACCCAGAAUUUUUUUUUAAAAGUUUGCCGAAGAAAUCAUAAUUUGUGUGUGCUUAGUCAACCUAGGAAUAUAUUAUCUAGUUGAAGGACAAUAUAGCAGACUUGUUAAUUUUCAACGAGGAGUCGAGGACAAUGUACGUAGCAGAUUUGUUCAUUAAGUCGCUGCCUAAAUCCACAUUGGAGAAGCACGUUAGGAGCAUUGGUUUUGCUUAAGCUAAUAUGAAAUCCCAUGUAGUCAUCAAGGGAAUUAUAUAUACAUCCCUUUGAUUUGACAAAAGAGUUUCUAUUCAUACCUCCAAAAAUAUUAUUUGGACCCCUCUACUUAAUGAACCUCUACCCUGUAAUUUACUUUUACAUAAAAUUAAAAUGCUAUUUACACCUCCCUAGUUUUUUCAAAAAUAUCCAUUGUUCAAUAAAUACAAUAAAAGAUAAACCAUUAUAUAAAAAAUACAAUUUGAUUAAAAAAAUUAAAAUAUUUUCUGAAAAAAUAAAGUGAUUCAUAUAUAUAUAUAUGAUUUUUCUCAGCUGCGGACGUUCGCACCAAUGGUUUUGGUGCGGAUUUCCAUUUUUCCACCACUUUUCGAUCGAAUUUCCUCAUCUUCACCGUCUAGUAUCUAGAUAAUAUUGUGUAGAUUAUCUCUGGAAAAUUUCAGUCAAUUUGGUAAUCGUUAAGGCCCUAAAACUCGAAAAACAAAUAGACGGACUGAAUUUUGUCCGGUUCAUGUUUAUACUAGAAAAACACAAUUUUGAGGGCUUAACGAUCACCAAAUUGGCUGAAAUUUUACAGAGAUGAUCUACACAAUAUUAUCUAGAUACUAGACGGUAGAGAUGAGGAAAUUCGAUCGAAAAGUGGUGCAAAAAUGGAAAUCCGCAUCAAAACCAUUGGUGCAGACGUCCGCAGCUAAAAAGGGCUAUAUAUAUAUAUAGUGUUAAUACACAGACCAAAACACUUGGCCAUGCCGAGAAUGCAAGAUCAUUACCCACUCGCCGGAAGCCAUUCCGGCCAAGCCAUCACCGGCAAACUUGCCACGGAUGCCCAAAGAGUGGGAGCAUAACAAUAACAUGCAUGCCGAACCCACUCUGCAAUAGCUAAACAGCCCUGAAAGGGAAGAGACUGAACAGUACCACAAAACAGUCCCACAUCGGGGACUAACCAUAAAACCCCCAAUACAAGCCUAUAAAACAGGCACGAACUCCUAGAAAAUGUAAGUUCCACUAUUCCUCCCAUCCUCCCGUACUAUACAAGUAGCAAUCAAACGCUGACUUAAGCAUCGGAGAGUCGAAGACUGGGCCAUCCCAGUCCCGACUCCUGACGUGUUGUUACUUGUGCAGUUACAAGAUUCGGAACCAAGGAUUCGACCUCCCGUCCCGUGCUCUCGGAAGAGGUAGAAACAAUUGGCGCUAGAAGGAGGGGCCCCUCUUGUGGAACUCCCACCUAGCUUCGCAGGAUGGUGGAAAUUGUGGAUGACCCAAACGAACCCGAAACCCAGAUAGAAAAAGAACUUUUCCAAUCUGGGGACACAUCCCAAAACCAAACUACCAUUUCCACGGCUCCCAUUAACCACCCCGAUGCCACCACAGCCCUCGAAAUUUUGAAAAAAGACUUCCACGCGUUCCGAGAGUAAGUAGACAAAGAAAGGGCGGAAGUUGACGCGUACCGGGUCCGUAUCGCCGAACUAGAAAAAGAACAAUUCCUACUUCGCGCGACCCUGGAUCACCGCAAUAGCUAUAAUGAUACUCUGGAAUGGGCGGCACGAGUCACCCCCACCCCCGACGCAACCCUGACAUCCCUGUUUCCUAGCCAAGGGCAGAAUAGUUCCGCGGUCCCGGGAGGCCCCAACCAGAUCAUUUACGUCACCCAUCCACUAACCCACCAAUCAUUUCCACUCCCAGCCCCCCAACCAUCUGCAAUCAAUAAUGAGUCCAUCCCCCUGAUAAACCAACCUGAGCCACUCAUUACUAAUCCCAACUCUACCAACACUGCUACCUCGUCCCUCGACAUGCAAACCCGACUCCUCCUCCAACUCAGCAAUUCAGUCACUCAGCUAGCCUCACAAAUCGAAGGAGUUGAGAGUCGCGGGAGUCAACGACCCCUCUUCUCAGGUUAUGGACAUCGCCCAAGCCCCUUUACACCACGCGUACAAGUGGAAAAGAAACCACCCGAGGCCAAACCCUUCAAAAUAGACAAAUAUAAGGGCACCAACGACCCUCACCUUCACCUUGAAACAUUCCUCUCGUUAUGAAGUUCCACUCAGUACACAGAUGCUAUAGCCUGCCACGCCUUCCAAGAAACCCUUUCAGAUGAAGCACUUAGUUGGUUCCUUAACCUGCCUCCCAACUCCAUUGACAAUUUCGACCAACUCUCGGAACGCUUCCUCAACCGCUUCAUACUCCAUGCCAGCAUCUACCGCAGUGUGGAUGCCUUGUUCCACAUCAAGCAAAAAGAGGGGGAAGGCCUCCAUGAGUUACUGUCCCGGUGGCAAUCAGCCACGACACACUGCCAUAACUUGGAGCCCCGGGUCGCUGAACAAGCUUUUCGCCAAGCCUUACUUCCCGGCAGCUUCCUAAUGGAGAUUAACAGGAACCCUCUAGGGUCAUACGAUGCCUUGAUGGACCUUGCUGUCCGCUAGGCGCGUGCCGAGUUUGCCACCUUUGGGCAUUCCAACCUAACUACCACAUUAGCACUCCCAGCCCCACCCCUCAAGUAGCAACCCCAACAAAAGUAUGACCAUUAUGACCGAGGACAAGACAAAAGCAAGCAGCAUAGCAAUUCCCGUGACAGCAACCACGGGCGCAGUUCAGACCGUCGCCAUGGGGGGCAACGGGGACAGGACCAUCCUUAUCGGCCCCGGGAGCAGAGCCCCCAACAGCAACAACGUCGCUCCCCACCACCUCGUUACGAGGUCCACACAGCCCUAACCACUACAUAUGAGGAUAUAUGGGCCAGACACAAAGAUCUCAUUCCCCUGCCACCUAAGAGCAAAUAUCCAAAAAAGCCUCGGCGCGCAAUAGGGAACAAAUAUUGUGCUUAUCAUAAUGACAACGGCCACACCACUGAGAUGUGCCAUGGCCUCUGCAAUGUCGUAGAACACUUGAUUCAUAACGGCCAACUCCAUCAGUACUGCACUCCCGCCACGGGAGCCAAUGCUAUUGAAGUUCAUGGUCAAAUCUUAACCAUACAUGGCGGCGCCCCGCAACCCCCUCCUCGUCAGCCUUCGGCAAAAAGGCAAUGCACGAGCCACUUUGAAAUUCUUGAACUGCAAAGAGGUGUCACCACCACCCCAUCAGCAUGGGACCAGGUGACAUUUUCCAAGAAGGAAGAUACGAUCAGUUGCCAUCACAAUGAACCCUUCAUAAUCAAUGUCCAAGUGGAUCACUACAGGUGUCAUAGAGCCCUCGUGGACACAGGCGCCGCGGUCAGCGUCAUGUUUGCCGAUUGUUACAGAGGACUCCGGUGUGACCGAGCUAAGUUAUAUAACAACCAUGAUCCCCUUGUCAGCUUCUCCGAAGAGAUUGUGCAACCCUUGGGCUCAGACCGCUUGACAGUGUCAGUAGGGGCCAACCCCUACCGUACUUCCAUAACAGCACAUUUUCUCAUAGUCGAUUGCCCCUCCUCCUACAACCUCAUCUUGGGUCGCGACAACCUCUGGGGACUGCAAUGUUUCAUUGCAGGUCACAUGCUACUUAUGAAAGUGCCCACUCUGGGAGGCAUACUCACAAUCCAAGGGGAUAGAGCUGCCAUUGAACAUUGCCAUCUUAAUGCCAUCCAACAGGGACGAGGGGCCUAUGAGAUGUUGCCACUUAGCCCCUUAGAACCCAUUGAUGACCCCAGGGACGACCUUGAAGGAAAAGACAAGAAGCAGGCCCCGAGACCUAACCCGGCAGAAGACACAUAAUGGGUAUCCUUGUCGCCCAGUGCCCCCGAGAGGAAGGUCCGCAUCGGCACAAGCCUUAACCCGGAACUCUGCCACAAGCUCAUUGCAUUCCUCCAAGAUAAGCAAGCAGUUUUUGCCUGGUCCUAUGCUGACUUGCUAGGUAUCUCCCCCGAUGUCAUCACGCACAAGCUUAACAUACUCAAAGACCAUCCCCAUGUUAAGCAAAAACGGCGUGCCUUCAACCUGGAAAAGUAUCGCGCCAUCCAGGCCGAGGUCCAGCGGCUAAAAGAAAUCAAGUUUAUACGUGAGGUCUCAUACCCAACAUGGGUUUUCAAUGUAGUCAUGGUCCCCAAGCCUAACAACAAAUGGCGAAUGUGUGUUGAUUACGCUAACCUCAACAAAGCCUGCCCCAUGGACAGUUUCCCCUUGCCAUGGAUUGACCAGCUAGUUGAUUCCACAGCCGGUUUCAAAAUGCUUAGCUUUCUGGAUGCCUACUCGGGAUAUAACCAAAUCAAAAUGCACCCCACAGAUCAAGAACACACUACUUUUGUCACGGAUAAAGGACUGUAUUGUUACGAAGUCAUGCCCUUUGGCCUCAAGAACGCAGGAGCAACUUAUCAGAGGUUAGUCAAUGCCAUGUUCGAAGAAGAAAUUGGGGAAGUCAUGGAAGUCUACGUAGAUGACAUGCUGGUCAAAAGCAAGAUAGCUGACGACCACAUUGCCAACUUAGACAAAGUAUUCACUAAGCUCCUAGCUCACAGGAUGCGCCUCAAUCCUCAAAAGUGCAUUUUGGCUGUUAGCGGUGGAAAAUUUUUAGGUUUCAUGGUCAGUGAAAGAGGUAUUGAAGCUAACCCAUAAAAAGUACAAGCCAUACUUGACAUGACCGUCCCAAAGACUCGGAACGAAGUCCAGUGCCUCACGGGACGUUUGGUGGCCUUGGCACAUUUCAUCUCCCGCCUCACAGACAAAUGCAACCCAUUCUUUCAAUUGCUAAAAACUCAGUACAAGGAAAAUGUGGCGUGGGGCCCGGAACAUGAUGAUGCCUUCAAUAAUAUCAAAGCCUACCUUGCGGCGGUCCCUCUUCUCUCCAAACCUGUCCCAGGAGAGGUACUGUACUUGUAUCUAGCUGUUUCCGCCACAGCAAUCAGUGCCGCCCUCACACGCCAUGAUCAUGACAACGAGCUCCCGGUGUACUACUGCGGCAGAGGGUUCACCGAUCCCGAGACCCGCUACCCUGACAUUGAGAAAUUAGCUCUAGCCCUCAUCACCGCAGCCAAAAUCAAGCAAUACUUCCAAGCACAUACCAUCCAUGUCCUCACCAAUCACCCUCUGAGGCAAAUACUCCAAAAAUCUGAAACUUCAGGACGCAUGGUAAAAUGGGCAAUAGAAUUAGGAGAAUUUGACCUGCACUUCAAGCCAAGAACAGCCAUAAAAGGACAAGCUGCCGCGGAUUUCAUUGCUGAAUUCAUCCCCAUGAACCCAGACGAUCCCGACCAGGACGUCCACCCCCAGAGCGAAAUUUAGGAACUCCACGUUGAUGGAUCCUCCAACAACAGGCUUAGUGGAGCAGGGAUAAUAAUCACAGACCCAGAGGGCCAUUCUUACGCGUAUGCUCUCCGGUUUGAAUUUAAAGCAUCCAACAACAUAGCUGAAUACGAGGCCCUCAUAGCCGGCAUUCAGCUCUGUCGAGAACUCGGAGCCCUGCACAUUCACAUAUUCAGUGAUUCUCAGCUUGUAGUCAAUCAAGUGGCAGGAGACUUCAAAGCUAACCAGAACAACGUGGGAUCCUACAAAAGUCUAGCUGGCGCCCUCCUACAACACUUCACUUCUUACAAGCUCACCCAAAUCCCAAGGGCCAAGAACUCCAAGGCAGAUGCUCUCGCGAGACUCGCCACAGCACAUCCCGAGUCCGCGCCACCAGAUGUGCACAUAGAAAUCUUGGACAAGCCUAGUAUUUCGAAGGCUUAUUCAGAAAUCUUUGCCAUAGAAACACUUAACCAACCCUCAUGGAUGGAUCCAUAUGUGGCCUUCCUUUUCAGCGGAACCCUGCCCAUGGAUGCACAAGAAGCGCAGCGGUUACGCCACAAAACUUCACUCUACUUGCUUAAAGGAGGGAAGCUAUACCGCCGUGGCCAGUCAUGUCCCCUUUAAAAUGUUUGCCUACAGCAGAAGGGCACAAAGUAUUGAAAUCACUCCACAGUGGAGUCUGUGGAAACCAUGCGGGGGCUCGAAACCUUAUGUUUAAAGCGCUAAGAGCUGGAUACUAUUGGCCAACAUUAGAGCAAGAUGUAAAGGCAGUUGCCCAAGCAUGCCUUCACUACCAUAAAUUUGCAGAUUUUGCCCACCGUCCCCCAGUUCCAUUAUCUGUCAUUAUUUCCCCAGUCCCUUUCAGCCAGUGGGGACUUGACUUUGUGGGGCGGCUACCCCCAGCCCUAGGACAACUCAAAUUUGCUAUCGUCCUGGUAGACUAUAACACCAAAUGGAUAGAAGCAGAGCCCCUUGCUACAAUCACAACAGAAAAAGUGAUCAACUUCCUAUGGCGUAAUUUAUACUGCCGGUUUGGGGUACCACAAGCCAUCAUCACAGAUAAUGGGGCACAAUUUGACAAUGAGACAUUCAAAGAAUUUCUCUCUGAGCAAGGCACAACAAUCUUCUAUGCCUCCCCAGCACACCCCCAAACCAAUGGCCAGGUGGAAGCUAUAAACAAGCUCAUCAAGCAAAACCUGAAGAAACGCCUGGAAGAUGCUAAAGGGUUAUGGGCGGCCAAGCUCCCGGAAGUCCUCUGGACACUUCGUACUACCUCAAUAGCAACCACAAGGGAAUCCCCGUACCUCUUGACCUAUGGCACCGAAGCAGUGAAACCUGUAGAUGGAGGUCUCGAGUGAACGUGUUGCAACAUAUGAUCCUGAGACAAACGCCACGGGACUCCGUCUCAACAUGGACCUUCUCGAGGAGCGCCAGGACAGAGCACAUCUCAAAAAUGUCAACAACAAACAAAAAUUACCAAGCAUUACAACAAAAAAGUCAUCCCCCGCCCUCUAAAAGUAGGGGAUUGGGUCAUGAAAGAGGUUAUCCCCCACCCUACCGGGCUCAAGGCAAAAUGGGAAGGCCCAUUGGAGAUAGUCAACGCCCUGGGACCAGCUACCUUCUACCUUCGUGACACCGAUGGCUGAGUCCUACCUCGCCCCUGGAACGCUCGCCACCUCCACCUACCCUGUCUAAGCUUGUCAACACUCCAACGCCAACAUGGCAGUUAGUACUUCAUUACUUGUGUACUUUAGCCCGGUAGCGGCUCACUUCAAAUGUACACUUUGCCCAUUAGCGGCCUAUAUGAAGUAACUAUUUUCUCAAUCUUUUUCAACAUUCCUACAAAAGAACACAACAACCACACAGGCACAAGAAGCAAACAUAUUCCUUAACAUAACAACCUGGACUCCCAGACAAUUCAUAAAUAGCAAAAUUGUUCAACAUGGCUAACCACGCCACCAAAAAAAAAAAAAAUGUUGUUCCGAUGACAAACAAGCAGUUAAACUAAAAGGAAAAACAAACUAACUACAACAAUUACACCAUCCAAGCUACUUCUCCCCGGAAGAGGCCCCGCUUGACUUAUUCACACUCCCACUACUCUUCGACCCGCUACCCCGCCCACGACCUUGACCGAUGUUUACCGACACCCUCUGCCCAUAAACAUGCUUAGAACGGUCGCGUGCCACAGCUGGCGGCCUCACUGACACAUUUGGGCGCACCAGCGAGCUCACCUGUUGCACUUCUGGAACAGGGGACUUGGACGCAGAAGCCUUUAGCACCUCAACCCGUGGAGACGCCACAAGACCAACAACUCGCGGGUUAGGCGGCUCAACAGCAAAAGACGCAACUUGAGAAACGGCCACCUGUGUUAAAGGCGAUCCCUCGGGAUGUGGAACCCUGGGAGAGGCAGCAGCCAGGGCAAGCGAUCGAGGCACACCCGUAGUAGAAACUUCCUUUGGCACAACAGAGGAAGUAGCACGCCAAGUCUCAUGCUGCUUCGCUAGGGUCCGCGAAAUCUCAGCUUGCUUCCUUUGCUAUGGAGUCAUCUGUUCCCAAGCCUUCCUCGCAGCAUCCCUCUCGGCGUAAAACUUACGCAUUGCCACCUCGUUAAUCCAGCCAGCCUGACACCCGGUUUUACUCAGCUCAUCCUGACCCUGGUUAUAGGCACUCUUCAGUUGCUGCUUAUAGAGGUCGCUCUCACGAAACACCCUCUCCCCAGCCCCGGCUGCUCUGGCACACUUCACCUUCCAAGCCCUCUCCUGUUCUGCCAAGGCAUGAUUUAAUUUCGCUACCGCAGCCUCCAGGGAAGCAACCUUGGCGGCAGCCAAUUCUCCAGCUUCCACCUGCUUGCCUUUCUCCUCCAUGGCUUUCUUCAGCUCAGCCACCUCUUGCCCAGCGGUUGCGGCCUGAUCACGGAACACAACAGCGUCCUGCUCUACCUGCUCCAAACGUCGCGAGAGGGCGCGGUUGUUCUCUUCUGCCUCCUUCAGUCGCUGACAUUUGCUCUCAGCAUCCUCCUGCAGAUGAGUCACAGCCCUCUCACUUGCCGCGUACAUAAGAAGGGUGGCCUGUAAACAAGACAACAACAUAAAAAAAACAAAAAAAAAACCCAAACAAGCGGAGAAAAGCACAACUGGACCACCUGAACACCUACCAGGGUCAACUUCUCCUUGGCAAGAGCAAUGCCAGCUAAGGGCUCAACCUCCUCCAAGACAUUCAUGUCGCGGGAGCGGUGCCGCAUAUCAUACGCCAUCUGCGCUAAGUAUGGUUGCGCAUCCCCGGUUCCCUCCAGUGCAUGAGUGAUCUCCGCCAAACUCCCGGAACUUCCAGAACGCCCUUCCUUUUGGGACCUUUUUCCUUGGCCAUCACGCAAAGACUCGACCCUCUCCUUCCUCUUCCGAGUCUUGGUCACGACGACCUCCUCGGAGUCUUGCUCAAGGGGUUCCACCUCCUCAGCCAUGAGAUCCUCGCCACCAAUCUGGCCUUCCCCUACAUCUCCCAGCGAUACAUCCUCCAUCCCAGCUGGCUCCGGGACAUGCUCUUCCCCCACUGGAACCUGUUCUUCCUCCUCUUGAUCACCAACCCCGACUUCUACACCCUCAUCACUCACCCCUUGGUCGCCUAAGCCCAUUACUUCCGCCACCAGGGGAGGCACAUAAGCAUAGUCGUCAUCCGCCAAAUUCAACCUCACAAAAUCAUCUUCACCCUCGCCAAACUCCACCUCCUUCCCUUCCCCAGUCUCCAGGUCAACAUCAUACCGCUUAGCGUGAGCAGCCUCUGCCAACAACCCAUCCAGAACGUCCUGGUCAGAGACCUUGUCAUAAGGUCCUUCCUUCUUUCGCGACCCAGCGUCCCGAGUCAUCGUCACUGCAUCAGACAAAGUAAAGAUCAAAACACAAGCAAAAAAAAACAAAAACGAAAAAACCUAGGUAACCAACUCAAAAGCAAAAUACAGACCCGGGACCCGGGAGUAACCAAAAUAACUAUACAUGCCGAGGCGGCAUAUCCGGUAUGAACUCCUACACUCGAAUGCCCACAGCACCCGGCGUAUCCGACGCUCCAUUAGCUCGGUUAAUUUAUAUUUUUGGGGCACUACACAAAGUCAGCAGUCAGUAGGGGCAGUACAGUACAAACAAAAAAGAAAGCACGAGACACAAAACAUGGUACCUAUUUUUUGAAACGCCCCGGGUACUCAUAAUGGGUGUCCAUGCCACUCCUGCCACUACCCCCCAACAAGGAAACACUUCCGUCGCCAGCCCUCACUUGUAGAAGUAGGCAAGUCCUCUACUAGGAUCUUGAACUUCCCCCGGGACUUCAACGUCACACAACCCCGGCUGCCCUUCUUCGCACAGUACGCCAUAUGCCAACAGGCGUUAAACUCCUCACAGUUGGGGAACUCUUGCCCCAGCAAACGAAAAAGCACCCCUGUUCCUAAUAUUUGUCGCAACAUGUUUGGGGUAACUUGCCCCGGGGCGACAUGCAGACACGCCAAGGUGUACUACAGAAAGGCAGGUAACGGGAACAUCAACCCGCAUUUCAACUGGUACUCGUAUACCAAGGUAAAGUUGUCCGGGGGUCCCAAAAAUUAACACCCUCCCGAGAGGCCGUAACAAGACCUCCUCGGGAUACUCCAAUUCUCCCUGAGCGCCUUCAAUUCUGACGACGUCAUACUCUCGCCAGGGGGAUCCCAGAACAAGUCAUUGUCUUCCCGAGACCUUGUCAUGCUAAACUCUUUUACCUUCUGCAAGAGAGGGUCAGACGAGGAUACGUGAGACCCUGCAUCCGUAACAGGAAUGCCUUCCCCUAAGUCAAGUGCAACCUCCGCCAUAAGGUAAUCUACUUCCUCCUCCAACCGGUGCAAGGUGUCCGAAUCAGGAUCAGUCGAGCUAGAGACAACCACAAUCUCCUCGCUGGACACCCACACCGGAUCUGUCAUACCCUACAUCCUCACAUGUCAGACUCUCGCUACCUUAACACUAGCUAACUCGAUAACAAACCACUCAAUCCUCUAAUCUAGCCUAGCACAGUAGCCACUGAAGCAAAACCCACACAUUGUCCCUUUGAUCCAAAAUAAAACAAAAACAGAACCCAGAACGGGAAUUGACAAGUUCAUACCUGGGAAAAUUGGAUCUGUGUAGUGGCAAUGAAGCUAGUUGCAAACAACCGAGCACUCACACCCAAUCGAUCGAGGAUGAAAUUGGACGUUCCCCAGGUUCGAUUCACAGUUCGCCACAGCCCCUCUUCACAAAUCGAGCAACCCACUAUUCAGCCCUAAUUCCUCUGUUUUCGAAAUGCAAACUCCCUCCUUCUGUUUCCCAGGUCUAUAUAUAGAGCAUUUAAGGGGACCUUGACCGUCCUGAUCCUCUCCCUCUCAACAGUCAGGGCAUAGCCACAUCAACCACGAUCAGAGGGCACAUUAAAGACGCGCCCCACGAUCCCACGCAUGCGCGUUAAUUACGCGCACUUUACAAAAAAAAAAAAAAGACACACAAACCAACGAAACCGUUACGCCCUUAAAACUCGCCAUAAAUGACCGCGUGUCCCUCACAAACUGGCCAUUUAUGACACACGCGGGAUAUGACGCAAAGGUUCGUACCGAGUACUCGGAACGUAACCCCAGCCACCUUGCGACCCUCGCGUGGCGACUCGGGACUCGGCACCUUGCCCCCAGCUCCCGGGUAAGACAAUCUCAGAACGUAACCCCAGCCACCUCGCGACCCUCGCGUGGGGACUUAGGGACUCGGCACCAUGCCUCCAGCUCCCGGGUAAGACACAUUCUUGGCAUAACUUGAAAAAUAAUUCCCCGCCCAAGAGCUCUCUCGAACUAGGGACUUGGGGACUUGUUAAUACACAGCCAAAACAUUUGGCCAUGCCGAGAAUGCAAGAUCAUUACCCACUCGCCGGAAGCCAUUCCGGCCAAGCCAUCACCGGCAACCCUGCCACGGAUGCCCAAAGAGUGGGAGCAUAACAGCAACAUGCAUGCCGAACCCACUCUGCAAUAGCUAAACAGCCCUGAAAGGGAAGAGACUGAACAAUACCACAGAACAGUCCCACAUCGGGGACUAACCACAAAACUCCCAAUACAAGCCUAUAAAACAGGCACGAACUCCCAGAAAAGGUAAGUUCCACUAUUCCUCCCAUCCUCCCGUACUAUACAAGUAGCAAUCAAACGCUGACUUAAGCAUCGGAGAGUCGAAGACUGGGCCAUCCCAGUCCCGACUCCUGACGUGUUGUUACUUGUGCAGUUACAGGAUUCGGAACCAAGGAUUCGACCUCCCGUCCGGUGCUCUCGGAAGAGGUAGAAACAUAUAGAUCUUGAACUUUAUCGAGAACAAUCAAUUGAUCUAGUCAUUUGCUGUUAGUUUCAUCUUAUUUAGCCGAAAUCCCAUUAACUAUUUUUUUUCUAGAUACAUCAUCUUUUCGUCUUUGAAACCUAAGUUUUUUUUUUUUGUAAACCUAUAUUUUACAUUCAUAUGAAACCAUCUAUGAUCUAUAGAUUUUAUUAUCUAAAUAGAUUCUUAAUCUGUAUUUUUUAAUUUUUUAUUUUAAGAAUGAGAUCUUAAUUUAUAGUUUUUUUUUUUUGAAACAUGGAUGUGAAACCUUUCAUACCAAACCGGAAAAUGGUAAUUACAACAUGACCCGCGUGUAAGGGCCAAGUACCAUGUAAUACAACCAAUAGAAAACUAAAAACUAAAACAAAACCCAAAACAAAGGAUCAUCCUGCCUAACCCUAACUUAUUCGACUUGGCCCGAAACCAUCUUAGAGGCCUAAGCCCGUGGUCAUGAGCUGAGGCCCAACAAGAGACCCAAGCACAUGUUCAUGUGCUGAGGACACCCACUGUCACAUCCCGACCCUUAAAUUUUUACCUUAUUUACUAGCUGGGUUUUAAUAAGAGUUUUACCGUCUUUGUCAAUGAGUUUAUAGUUUAAUUGGUCUCUAGAGGGGUUUUGUAAGAGAAAAAUGUGACGACGGUAAAAAUGGUAAUUUUAGCUAGUAAAAGGUAAAUUUUAUUAGGGUAUUAUUUUCGGGGUGUUAAUUUUAGUGUUGGGUUUUAAAUGUUUUGAAAUGGUGGAACCAGUUGGAAAAGCCCAAGCCAUAUUUUUCUCUCCCUUUCCCGGAGUCUCUCCCUGCCAGAACUUCCAGCCGCCCGUCCGCCGCCGUCCGGCCACCUGAGACCGCCGCUCUGGUCCCGAUCGGUUGGCCUCCGACCCAGCUCCCAUCCUAGACCGGUGAGAGCUCCCCUAAUGCCGCCGUAAGGGAGAGUUGCCGCCUGAAAGUCCUGACUGCCCAAAGCUCUCUGUCGCCGAAACUUCCUCCUCCGGCCACCAAUCCGGGCAAGCUUUACAUGGUUUUGAAGGCCUUCAACUCAGUUGCCUUGCCCUAGAAGGACUCGGUCCAGUUUGCUUCAGGUGAGGAGAACCGGUGAGUGGAAGUUCUAGGGCUUUUUGUGAUGUUUUUGUUCGAUUGACCUAGUUAGGCUUGGAAUUGGUGUUUGUGCUAGUUAGGAAAGUUGUAGAGGGGGUUGAGAGGAAGCUGCUAUUAAAAUUUGGUAGGCAUUGGAGGUCGCCGGAAUAGGCCUCCGGCCGCCGCUGCCGGCGGAGCAGACUGUAAUACCCUUGAUUAUAAAAUAUAAGAAAUAAUCUUUUUAUUUGGGUUGGUAUGUCCUUAUACAUAUGCACAUGUACGUAUAUAUAUAAUCUAUGUUGUAAUACUCCAAUAAUUUGGUAAUUCAAUUUAUUUUGGUAAAUGUACACAUGGGCUUACUAAAGUUGUAUCAAGAUGGGGUUAGUUAAGAUCUAAGUUUUAUUGGCUUGGUAAUUGCUCGGGAGUAUUUAUUUUUAGAUACUUAUGUUUACCAAGAUUUAUGUAUAAUGUGUAUAUGUAUAUACACUGCCUCAAAGUUAAUACAACUUGAUAAUAAAAUAAAAUAAAAUAAAGAAAGAAAGAUCAAGAGGGAUGGGAAAGAUAAAAAUAAAAAAUAAAAGAAGAGAGGAGAAGUCGAGAGACUUCAGGAAGGAGAAAAAAAGGAGAACCUGGGAGAACAAACAAAAGGAAAUGAAAGAAAGAAGAGGGGAAGCUUCUAGGGGGCUCUCAUCCUCUCUAGAACUCUCACGGUCUCUCUCUCUCUCUCUCUCUCUAUCUCUGGGGGCUUUUCUCCGAUUUUGUUUUUUUUUUUGUCUCAGAGAAGGAGGGGAGAAAGACCUGGAGGGGGACAACCUAGUUGGAGGAAGGCCCAGCCAAGAUUCUUUCCCAAAACCAUCGUCCUACAACGGUUCGUCGUCCAUUCACUUCAUCCUAACGGUGCUGACAAGCCCUGUGAUGGAGGGAUGUUGAUGCAUGGUUCGUGGCUUACCACUGUAAUUGACUUGUUCCGAACAUCCAUGAGUUGGAGUGGAUUAGAAAUCGGCUUUGAUUAUGGCUGUGGCUAGAGUUGUGAAAGGUAAAAUUGACACUACCUACGGUAAGAUCUUGAGUAACGAUUGAGAUACUGGAUUAUGAGAAUUGUUCAAUAGUUGUAAUCGAUUUUGAGAUUGAGUUGAAUGACUUAUCAUUGAUUUCUUUGAUUUGGAUUGCUGAUCUGUUUUGCAACUGUGAUGGUAUUUGGGAAUUAGCUUAUUUACUUAUUCAAAUAAGUUUAAGGUCAGGGUGUUACAUAGAUGGCGGCGGCGGCGCUAUUUAGAGGAUUUUUAUGGUUUUAAUUGUGAUAUAUUAAAAGGAGUUUAAUGAUGUGAAGUUUGGAAUUUUUAGAAGAGUUUUGAAUAGGUUUUGGAUUUUUGAAAGAUUGGUGAAUUUGGCGGUUAAUGAGGUAGAAUCUGACUGUUGGAUUUCCCUUACGUUGUGUUUGGAUUAAAUAAUUUCAAUUUCCAUAGAAAUUUCAAAAUCAUGGGAAUUACAAUUUCAUGAAUUUAAAUUCCAUUAAUUGAGAAUUCCAUUGUUUGGAUUUCAUAAUGUAUAGUUUUAAAAUGACAAGAAUUUGUAUUUAGAUUAACCUCAGUUAAGAGAAUUGACAAAUAACAUCUAUUUUGUGAGGAAUUCAAGUCGGGAAUUUAAGCUCCCAAAUUCCACGAUUAUUUUUCCAUGGAAAUUGCUAAUUCCACGGGAUGAUAAUCCAAACGGGGGAAACAGUCCUAAGAAAUUGGGAAUUCCUUAGUUUUGAUUAAAUUCCCGAGAUUUCACCCACAUCCAAACACACAGUUAUUAUUGUUUUAGAAUGUUGAAAUAAAGGAAAUAAGGAUAUGGUUGGAAUUUGGCAUGAAUCCGAUAAGCUUAACCCUAGAAAGGGUAGUGGGUUAGACGGAAGAGUUUUGAGUUAUAUAUUUAAGUACUAUUUAUUCUGAAAUUGAAGUGUGGUCCUAAGCAUAGUUUUUGUGCCAGGAUUUGAGGAGACCUCACUUGAGGGGCGAAUUGGAAUUCGUCGGGCUUAUGUCUAAAGUUGUGAGUGGACUUUUGUUUUAACUAAAAGCUUGCGAUGCAUUAUAUUGUUGAUCAAUUAUUCUUCUGCUGAGAUUUAUUGCUUUCUCUGAUAUUUGGCAAUUUUCAUCUUUUGGAGCUCAUUUUCGGUGGAUAUGUAUAUUGGAUGUUUAUGAGGAUAGUAUGUAUAUAAAUGCUAGCUAGUCAUACAUCCUUGGUCCGUCAUAUGAGAUGAAAUUUCAUUAUGGCGUGACGUGAGUGUUAGACAUAAGCGUCAUAGCCCUAUAUGAAAACUACUUUCUUAUCUGAUUCAUAUAGGUUUUCAUAUAGAGAGUCCACACGUAUAUACACUCGUGCUUUUCCGCCAUAAUGAGGUAAAAUUCUAUUAUGGUGUGAUGUGAGCGUUAGACGCAAGCGUAGUAGCCUUGUAUGAAUUUCUAUUUUUCUAUUUUGUUCAUAGAAUUCGUACAAGGAGUCUGACGAGUGUAAAUACAUACACAUAUAUUUAUAUAUAGUUUAGCCUGAUAGGCUCUAUUUUAUUGAGUUUUGGAGACUAGGCGGAGCUAGUCAUGUAUUUGCCAGUUUGUGAGUAGAAAACUUUGAGCUGUCGCAUGCAGUAUAAUUUCUAUGAAAAAUUAAAUUGGGAAUGCAUAAAUAUUUUUAUAUUCAUUUUUGUCCACUCACUCUAACGGUUUCAAAUGUUUUCCCCUGGGCCAUUCGUUUUAAAAAUGUCCAGUAUGCAGGUUAGCAUAGUUGAGGUCGGGCGUACAUGGAGACGAGGCAUAAUCAAUAGUAUAGCUUCCGCUCAUAUUUCUAUUUCUAGUUCCUAUCUCCUCUAAUAGAGUUGCUUUGAACCUGUGAUUGUUGGUUAUGGGAUUUUUGCUAGAUUCAUAAAUAUAAAUUGGGAAAUGUUGUGAUUUGUGGGGAGCACGAAGGCUCCAGGAGUUUAUUAGGUUGGAGUUGGAACUGUUAGAAGUGUUUGCAGGUGUUUUAGUUAGGAAGGGUUGUCCAUUUUCAAGGGAGGUUAUGCCAAUUUUUUCGGUAAAUUUUCCUUGGAGGUGGUCCCCGCAGGAUUUACUUCGGGUUUCAGGGUGAAAUUCGGGGUGGGUCCUGACACCCACAUUGAGCACCCAGCCACCGACACGUUCCCGACGUCGGCGGUCGUCUCUCCGGUGGUCUGCCUAGCCACCACAACAUCAACACCAUCCUCUUGCUAAACCUUAAAACAAAGUCUUGGAGUUCUUCCUCGCACCAAAUCGGAUCUGGCGCCACAAAGCCGCUUGGCUCUCCAAAGAUCCAAGCUGCCGCCGCCAAGGCCUUCCCACCAAAACCAGAUCACGAACUAGAUCUGCACAGUCGCAUCACCACCCCAAAGCCAGAGCAGAAGCCGAUGUCGCCUCAUUGAUCUCUCUUACGAAUAGGGAGACCUAUCUCCAAAACCAAGACCCUGAACUGCACUACCGUCACCGUCUUGAUAGAAGCCUCGCUUGCACGAUGCACCGCUUUGCCCGAAACCCCUCUUGCACGGUGCCCUGCCAUGCCCGAUCGACGUCUAUCCGAGGAAUAACGCCGCCGCCAACGAAACCCUAGUUUCAGUUUUCAGAAAGGCUCCGAAAAAAAGAAUAAUCUCUAUCUUAAUUUAUAGUUAUAAACGUGUAUUGUCUGUAAAAAUAAAAAGAGUUUUACGUGGUUUUAUUAGUAAUUUAAUAUGAGUUAACAAAGUCAAGAAUACUUGAUAAAAAUAAGAGGUCUAAGUAGCAUUUUUUGAGGUGUGAAUAGAGGCCCCCUUUGACAAAAGUAAGUUAAAAAAAUUAUAAAAAUAUAAAAGAAAUCCUCCACUGCAAAAAAAAAAAAAAAAAAAAAAANNNNNNNNNNNNNNNNNNNNAAAAAAAAAAGAAAGGAAAAGAUUUCCUAGCUAUAAAUAUAUUUGAAGCUCUAAAAAAGGGUUCUCUUUUACACGCAAAAACCAAGAACAUCAGAAAUUUCUUUUACCAGGUUCUCUUCUCCCUCUAUCAGGUAUCAUACCUCUCUCCCUCUCUCGGUCUCUCUCUCAAAAUUUCUUAGGAUAUUAGAUUUUGUUCCUGUUGUUUAUGGCCUCCAUCAUGGACCCUCCAGUGCUACAUUCUCAGGGUUUUUUCAUUCUUAAGUGAUCGAAGUAUAUGCAUUCACUAAUGUUUUGAAUUCAUUUUCUUGUUGGAAUAAGGAAUGGGUGACAAGAAGAAGAAGAAGGCCACUAUGCUCAUCCGACUUGUGUCAUCUGCUAGGACUGGAUAUUUCUAUGUCACCACAAAGCCUGCCGGGAUGACAGAAAAACUCGAGUUGCGAAAAUAUGAUCCUCGGGUAAGACUUCAUGUUCUAUUUACUGAGGCAAAAUUGAAAUUCAAAUGAGUAAUUAAGCUCUUCUCUAUCAUUAUCGUACACCAACUUGGAUCCAUGUUUUUGUUGUUGAUAAUUGGAGCUGAGAUGCUAGCUGCUAGCCUGUAUGUAAGUGACCCAAGUGCUUACAGUAAUAUUUGGUGCUGUUUAAUUUGAUUUAUGAUAAUAAGAGUGUUGUGCCAUUCCUUCUGGACAAGCAUUAUUUGUGCCAUUAGUCAUUGGUUUUCUUUUUUGGUACAAUGGGAUCCAAGAGGACCAAGACCCGAAACAAAAACAAGAAAACAAAAAAAUAAAUAAAAGGUAGCAGAAGUCAUAAGUCAUAACCCUUCUAGGAUGAAUGCAUAUUUGCAGACAUAGAUGGUAAUAUUAGGAGACACAAAUCUUUAUCGACACUUUUCUUCGUAAGGCCAUCAACAACCAUGUCUCAUUUCCUAUGCACAUGUUGAAAUGAGGAAAGAAGCAAAUUGCUCACUGGAAUAUGAUAAGGGUCAGUAAACUUAGAGAAAUUUUUUAGAACUCAGAAGGCCUUUCUCACUGGAAUCAGUUCUGAGUUUGCUUUGGAAAUUAGAAAAAUUACCAGAGAUGUUCAGCUGAAACUAGGAUUAGUUCUGAUCUUUGAGCAUUUCUCAUGUCCUUUAGCUCUGUUGAUCUGAAAUAUGAAACACCAUAGUUAGAAAAAAAAGAGUUGUGAAUAAGAAACACAAAUAUUAGAACAUGGAAAUAAAGGUUCUGACCAAUUUCUCUUUCAACUUCUGAUGUACCUGGCCAGACUCCGAAAGGCCUUAGGGUGUGUAGUAGUCCCCUAUCUCUAUGUAUGGAAUGUGACUUAUUUUUUCCCAGUACCUUGGUACAUCUGGUUUAUAUCUCUUUCUAAGCACAGGACAAUCAUCAAAGAUGUAAAGUUGUGUGAGUGAAAAGGGCAGAUCCUCUGGAAUGGAUGCAAGCUUUGGGCAAUCAUCAAUUCUAAGAGAUUCAAGAGAGGUGAGUACUUGAAGGCCCUGGCUGGAUAUUCGUCUCAGAUUUGGGAAGAAUCCAAUGGUAAGUUUAAUGAGAGAUGUAGGAAGCAGCAUCUCCUCUGGUGGAAAGGACACCAAAUCUUGAUCGACACCUUGAAUGCAUAACUCUGUUAGAGAACUGAGUCUGUGCAAGUGCAAUCCCCAGUCCCUGAGUGGCUUACAAUUUCUGGGAUUCAAGAGGAUAAGUGAUGUUAGGUUGGGGGGAAAACCCUCCUCUAGAAUGGAAGCCAAACCUUCACAGCUGCCAAUCACCAGCUCCUGGAGAGAAUUGAGGUUGAUCAUGCCUUUGGGGAAGACGUUCCAUCGUUGACAGUCAGAGAUAACAAGGGAUGUCAGGUUGGAGGCCCUUUUUGGUAAUAAUCCUCUUGGGAAGGAAACAAGACUUGCACAGACAAAUACAAUUAACCUACGAAGAUUAGUAAGAAGACACAGGCCCUCUGGUAAGGAUUUCAGAUUUUCACAACGCCCUAUAUGAACUUCAAGGCAAGUGUCGUUGCAGUAGAGCUGUACGGGUUUAGACAAAGAUUAAAUGAGAUGGGUUUUUUUUUUUGGUUGUCAAAUUAGAGAUAGCCUUCUUCUUCUUUUUUUGGCGCUCAGAAAAAAAUUUGGGACUCGGAAAAUUUUUAGUGCGGCGGGAUUAAUGGCCCCUGUUUUUACUUAGCUUUUAGGGAUUGUUUGCUAUGGCAACUAAACCGUAGCAACAAAUUUAUACGACGACAUUGAAUACCGUCGCAAAUUUUUUGUUUCCAUGCCACGGCAUGAUAUAGCUGUAGCAAAUAAUUCCAUCAUUUGCCACGGCGUGUCGUUGCUUUCGCAAAAUAAAUUUCUUUUCUGCUACCCUACGAAUGCCGUCGCUAACAAGACAAGAACUAUUAGCGACGGCAUUUUCACGCCAUCGCAAUCUGUGGUGGCUAAAACAAUUAUUUUUUGUAGUGAUUAGAUCUAGUUAAAGCGACGAGAUCAUAUGUACCUGCUACAAACCUGUAAGGAUAAACGUCCCCGUAGGACGUAUCAUCCUAGUUAGACGAGGUACGGCAAUGGCAGCUAACCAGUCAUAGUCCCUGCCCAAAAGCGAGGUAGACCAUUAGAUUCGAACGAUUCUUAUCCCAGAAGAGGGUAAAGUUGGCACAAAUGAAUCUUCUUGCCAUCGCAAUCUCAAACCAAUUCAACUCACGAGAUAAAUCCGGAUUAUGGGUUUGUCCUAGAAGAGAUGAAGUUGGGGGAUGCUCCAACAUUUAAACCCGCUCCCGAGAAUUAAAAAUCUCGGUAAAUUUAGUGAGAUAUUGAAUCGAAAUGAGAUUUCAUCGAUGAUAUAUUUAUAUUUGCGGUAGCCACCGAAAUUAUAAUAAGCGAAUUUUGCUUCGUUGAUAGAUCUUAACAGAGAGACGAUUGGCUAAAAAGGAAAGAAACAAUCCAAGUCAUAUUAGAUUCUUUAACUUAGAGAAAGGUGUUAUGGGUUUGUUGUUCCCAUACCUCCCCAUGUUGAACAUAUAGAGUUUAAUGGGUACUUGUAAGGAAGCGUAAUGAGAAAAAUGAGAUUGUGAUAUACAAGACUCUUCUAAUGGUGCAAGGAUUUUCUCAACGCCAUGUGAUUGAUUACGAGGAGACGUACUUUCCCGUAAUGGACGUCAUAACGUUCCACUACCUUAUCAGUUUGGUAGUUUCCGAAUAACUAAAUAAGCAGCCUAUGAAUGUGGUAACAACUUACCUCUAUGGGGAUCUGAAUAUAGAGAUAUACAUGAAGCUAGGUUCUUGAAGGACUUCUGUUACCCAAUGCAAGUACUUCUAGACCACAGAACAUGCUCUCCAUUUGCUAGAGUAGUUCACUUUAGGGGUUCAAACAAUCUAGACGGAGUUGGUAUAACCGUCUAAAUGAAUAUUGCUUGGGGUGGGAUAUAUGAACAAAUGGACUAUGCCCAUGCGUGUUUUAAGGAAACAAAUUCCGAGUUUGUAAUUUGUGUUAAUUUAUGUCAAUGACAUGAAUUUGACUGAUACUCUUGAAGAGAUUAAGGAAACUGCAAAACACCUAAAAUUGGAGUUUGAGAUUAAUUACUUUAGGAGACCAAAUAUUAUUUUGUCGACCUGAAGUUGUGCAAAGUGCAGAUGAAAUUUUGGUCCAUCAAUCAAAUUAAAUCUAGAAGAUGUUAAGAUACUUUGAUGAGGAUAAAACAAAGUAUUUAAGCACACCUAUAGUCCUCCGAGGUCUAAAGACACUCGUAUUAUCGUUCAGAUAAUAACGAAGAGAUAUUGAGGCCAUAAGACUCAUAUCUAAGUACAAUAGGCGCAUUAUUGUACUUGGUUAAUUAAAUGCUCUUGACCGGACAUCUUAUCUGAUGUGAAUUUGUUAGCUAGAUAUAGCUCUACGCCAACACUCCGCCUCCGUAAAUGGCAUAAAAGACAAUUUUCUGUUACUUUAAAUGUAUGACGGAAAAAGACUCAUUCUAUCCCUAGGCAUCAUGGAAUGGAUCAACCACCUAUGAUCCUUGGAAUGAUGUUUGCCUUGUUAAAUAUGCUGACACGGGUUAUGUAAACCCACACAAGGCUUAUUCCCAACUGGUUAUGUCUUUACUAUGAGGAAUACAAUAAUCUUAGAGGUAUAUGAAACAAAACCCUCUUUAAAUCAUGAUGACUGUUAAGAGAUUCGAGAAGCAUUAUCAAAGUGUUAAUUUUAUCUAGUUUAUAGUUUCCAGGGGGAGUAUUUUGAAGCAUACUCUUGACCAUUGUGUAUUCUUUUGUCUUUUGUCUAGGGUUAUUUUGUCCCACUAGGUUUUGUUACCUGGCAAGGUUUUAAUGAGGCACACAUGAAAUUGGUCACCUUGCUCAUGUUGCAUCUUGAAGAUACAUUUAUUUAAAAUAUAUGCAUUUGCUCAUCUUUUCCCUUCGACCACGGGUUUGUUCCACUGGGUUUACCGGGCAAGGUUUUGGUGUAGCAACUAUUAUGCAUCUAUCUCCCACAGACUCACAUCUUAUGAUUCAGACUACCACUACUACGUGUGCGUUGUACUCUUUUCUCCUUCGACCAGGAUUGUUUUUGUCCCAUAGGGUUUUUAUUACCUGACAAGGUUUUGACGAGGCAACACUGGAGCACAUAUCAGAGGAAGCUAAUAACAGAGAAUACCCAAGGGGGAGUACUGUUGUAAAUAGUUUAUUUAAUGAGCAUUAUUGUAAUUAGCUUACUAGGGAUAUUCAUGUAAUUUACAUACUGAUUACGUCUCUAUAUAAGAGAUGGUUCCCUACUCAAUAAUAUACACAUAUUCUCUCAUUCUCUUGGUUGUUUCUCUCGUUUCUCUCAUUUCUCUCAAUAUAUUCUUUUGUGUUUUACAACACAAUUUUGAUUUUAUUAUUAUUAUUAUUUUUUCUGGAAAGACCCACUAGAUCACUUAAUAUGACCCACUUAGAUAUUUGAAAUUCGUUCAAUAUAUGAUUUUCCAGAUUAAUUUCGGUUUUCUCAACUUUAUAAAAUAUCAAUACUGUAUCUAAGUUUUAACCUCAACUCAGCUUCGAAACCACUAAUGAGUAAUGACAUUAAGGUCGUAAAUUUUUCAGGGUACAAUAAGUCCUUCAUGUGCCCCCCCCCCCCCCCCGAACUGGUUUUCCUAGCUAUUUGUGUGCAAGUUAGCUUGCUAUUACGCCCCGCCAAAUUAACAAAGAGUUUUCUUGAGCAUUUUUUACGCAAGCAUGGCUCAAGGAAGGUUUUGGGGAGCACAUGAGCAUUCUAAAAGCAUCCGGAAUAUUAUGGAAGGUCUUGGAAGCUUCCUGAAGGAUCGAGAAGCAUUCAGACAAAGCCGGAACUCUCUAAAAUCUUAGAGUCUCUAGGACACUCCGGAACUCUCUAGAACCCUAGAGAGGCUCAAGGCUCAAGACUACUCCGGAAGUCUCUAGAAUACUCAAGGUAACACUUUGUAUAGAAAACUCUACAUAUCUCUAUACUUGUAAAUGUCUUAGAAUUGUCUAGAAACUUAGGCAGGGGGGGAGGAUGUCUAUAAAUAGGGAGGUGUUGGGGUAGAAAUUGAAUAAGGAUCUAGGAGCUUACUAUUGUUGGGCUUGAUGAUCUGAUCUUUCCCUUUAGGGUUGCAAGACUAGGCCCAAAGUCUUCCUAAGAUAGACUUUGUUGUGAUGGAAAGGCUCCGAGUGUUUAAUAUCAAUAUUGAGAAGGCUUAGUAGUGUGCAUGGUGUGAGAGCUAGAAUCUUGCAAGCGUAACGGAAUGCCUGCUCAUCAUGGAAAAAUGUAUAAUGUGGGUGAGGGAUUGUAGAAUAUGGCGGUGGUGGUGUUUAGAGUGUCUGAAGGGUGUUUGGAAGGAUGGGUAUGAUGGUGGUGGUCUAGAGUCGGUUGAGCAUGAGAAGCUUGGUAGUGGUUUUUGCAUGUAGGUGUUAUGUCUCAAGCCCACUGUAGCUCCAUUUAAAUAAAACUGUUGUUGAAGACUGAGGGUAAAAAAUGACCGGUGACUCUCUAAUUUUAGCAAAGGUCAGAACCCCCCUUCUCACUGUCAUCAUUCGAGCCUUAAGUAAAAAAAAACGUAAAGGUCGUAAUGGUUCAGAAGCACCUACUCUUGAUUUCUUACCAAGCUACUUUUGGCUAAGGGGUCCAAACGAAACAUGGCCUUGGGUUUGCCUUAAGCUUAUAAGGUGAAAGUUGUGGAGACAGGCGCUCAGGUCUGAGGUGACUUGUGAUGUUAGUAUCCUAUGUCUAAAGGCAUUGGGUGAUAAGAUGAUGAGAUGAGGUAUCCGUUACAUGCCUAUGCACGGGAAACUCAAAUUCAAGUUUAAUCAUCGACUCCUAAGACGUCUCGAACACUUGACAUUUGGCCUCCAUAGGCCUUGCAAAAUUCAGUGUCCUUCCACACCACAACUCACUAAUAAGCCCCAUUUGGCCUAGUGUCUUGGGUCCAUGUUACUGGCUGGCCGUGUGACAUGUUGUGAUAGAUGGGUUUGGGUAUACCAUCCAGAUUCUUGUACGUAACUGUGCUUGGCGUGUGUUGGCACAUGUAUGAAAUGGGCGGGCAUAUGGUCAUUGAAACAUGUCCAUGAGAAACCACGUGCCAUAAAGGAAGUAGACUUGGGCAUGAACUAGCAUGACAUGGCCUGGCUUGACUCCCAAAUGGACCUUGUGUAGUUUUAUCUAAGGAAGGCCUUAGCGGCUUUCGUGACCUCCUUCUAUAAUUUGAGCAUGUCAUGGCGUGGCUUGCCUCCCUCGUCUUAGAUAGAGAUUUUAUACCAAGCCCCAAUUCGCUCGAGGCAGACCAAACGACCCGGACAUGGAUGGUACAAGCCUCAUAUCAGAUUUAAGCCUGAUCAUUGACCUUAGGUCUCUAAGACUUUCGAUAAAAAAACAGGCUUACAUUUUUGGGAAUCAACAGGAAGCACCCUUCUCAUUUGAGACAUAGAGAGUUGAAUAGCAUUCAAGCUCACUUGUAAAGCUUUGUAAAGUUCUCUUAGCUUAAUACAAGUUCUCUCUUUCAAAGAUCUUCUCCAUUCAUUCGGGUGUUCUAGCUAAAGUGUUUGCGUGAGUAAGGUUGACUUAGCAUAAGGGAAGUGCUAAGGCCGCACGAGAAGCUUAGGAAAAAGGAAGCUCGUGACAUUGCUCUUCCUUUUAGUGAUGUGCAGACUCUAAUAUACAUUUUGGACACUUCAUCCCAACAGCUCUAAUUUAGCAUUGUUAAUAGCCUCCAAUUAUUUUUUUUAAUUUUUUUUUAUUAAAAAAGCCUCAACCAAAUAGGCAAUGUCAAAUUUGACAACUGUAAUUGGCAUUGAGGGAAAAGUCCGAAAAACAAUGUCACUCUUUAUGUUUGUCCAAGUAGCAUGCACACGUUAAGCUCACUUGAAUAAAUGAGUUAAUUGUCUAAUGCGAUGGUGCUUUGAUACCAUUAUGGCCUGAGUUUUUUCAAUGAAAUUUUUACAUUUAAAAACAAAAGUAGUAUACACACCAUACCCUCCUACNNNNNNNNNNNNNNNNNNNNNNNNNNNNNNNNNNNNNNNNNNNNNNNNNNNNNNNNNNNNNNNNNNNNNNNNNNNNNNNNNNNNNNNNNNNNNNNNNNNNNNNNNNNNNNNNNNNNNNNNNNNNNNNNNNNNNNNNNNNNNNNNNNNNNNNNNNNNNNNNNNNNNNNNNNNNNNNNNNNNNNNNNNNNNNNNNNNNNNNNNNNNNNNNNNNNNNNNNNNNNNNNNNNNNNNNNNNNNACAAAAANAAAAAAAAAAAAGACAAAAAUAGUAUGCACACCAUACAUACUCUUUUGAAAUAAUUGUUUAAUCCAUGGUAAAUAUUCAAAUUUAACAUCUCCAUUGGAGAUGAGAUUAGUAAAGUUAGCAAAUGUUAUUUUUUGGCACAUGUCAUUUUAAAUUUGAACAAAAAAAAAAAACAAAUUUACCAUCUCCAUUGGAAAUGCUCUAAGAAGGUGUGAGCUAAAUGCACUCAUUAGUCUCAUUUGAUACCCGUUGAUUCUUGCUUAUGCUUUCAAUUCACAUGAAGUACCUUAAUUCUAUUCUCAUUGAUACAUUGCUUGCUGAGCCUACGUAUAACUAAAUAUUAUAUCAAUGUACCUAAACUUAAACUUCCAAAGUCUGAAAGGACAACAGUGGAAUUGCGGAAUCUCUAGUAUACUAUACCUCGAAGAUGGUCAUAUAACUUGGAUGAUGAAAUAAUUAGGCUCAAUCUAAGCUCACAAAUGACUUAGAUAUCCUCCCCAACACCCAGCCAUGAGCCACCGAUCGGAUAAACCCUCCUGCGAUUGAGAACGCCCACUGCCAAGAGUGCGCAUUUCCUUUUCAACCCCAUUUAAGUCUUGAUCUAAAUACUCUUUUCAGUUUGGUUGUUGUGUGAACUUAUUUGUCGUUUGUCUUAGAAGAUAUAUGUAAUGACAAUUCUGAAUAGGAAUUGAUGACUUCUGAUAUGAGCACAAAGUGUUAUGUUUAUAAUGUGUUUCCUACCCUAUUUAGUUAUGAUAUUCUCAUAAUAAUGUCAUUUCUAAUAUGUUUUGUGAUUGUAAAGGACAUGAGAGCAUAAAUCAAGAAAAGAAGGCUAAAUCAUGGAAAUAACAGAAAAAUGCAGAAAAAACACAGUGAACCCUUCUUGCAGUCCAAGGAAGGAAGAAUAUAACCCAAAAGAAGGCCCAAGUCCAAGGAUGAAAGAGAAAAAUGCAGAAAACCCAAAAGAAUACCCAAGUUGUCCAAGGAAGGAGAAAAGUCAAACAUGUGCUCCUAAAGAACAAAAGUCAAACAUUUCUCCUAGCCCCACAUCAUUUUUGAGGAGAAGUUCCACUAAGAUUUCCUCUAUAUAUAGACAGCCUUGAGUACUUCUCAAACCAUCUCUUCUUCACACAAAAAUCAAUGAAACACAUUAGCCUUCCUUCUCCUUUUCAACUCUUCUCUCCAGAAAAGAAGCAAUUCAAGCUGGCACCUUUGUAAGACUUCUCCAGAAGGCUGUUGAGAAGCAUCAGGCUUGUGUGUUCCUUUGAACAUCUCAAACUUCCUUGAAGAUUUAUAAAGUGUAACUCAUGUCUUGUUUCUUCUUUGUUUUCUUUUAUUAGAUUUCAAAGUUGGAAUUGAUUGGUUGUUAAGAACAUGAAUAUGUUAAUUUUCAGAAUAAAUUCAAGCAUAUUUCAACUUGUCUAUGAUAAUGUAUGUCUGUUCUGUUGCCUUGUUGAUCCAUUAAAUGCAUAGUUUUGUUUUCACCAAAACUCUAAUUCUACAGGUUAGUGUUGCUAGGUCUCUGAACUAAUUCACCUAAUAGUUUUAGGCAGAGAUCCAAGUAGUAAAGGUUAUGUAAUAAUAGCCGAGACUAUGUGUUACAUGCUUACAGGUUGGGCAUCUUCAAACUCAGAAUUCUUUAGAUCUUAAUGAUUCAUGUUUAGUGUAGACGGGUACUCUGAGUCGACACUGAGUAUCGAUCGCAGCCUUCGUAUGAAAUAUUCUCAGUUCUAGACGUUCUGUGCUAGGAGAUAAACUAAGUAGGAUUAAAGGAAUGCAUGAUCUCGUAGACUUGUGUUUCGAGUUUGUUUUUUGAUAUCGCUUGGUAAUGAAAUCGAUUAAAUGUUGAGACAUGUUGAUACUUGUUUGUUUGAUUUUGGAAUUGCUGGUUGAUGUGUGUUGAAGAUGAUCACUUGUAUAUAUAUUACUUUAGUUUUUAUCUUUAUCUUUUAGUAGGAAUGUUAAAACCAAACUCUCCAAACCCCCCCCCCCCCCCCUGUUUACCUUGUACCAUGUGUAUAUUUGUAAACGAAUACUUGUAAAUACUUAUAGUUACAUACUCUUUACUGUAACCGUGACUGCAUGAGUGCCCUUUUAAGUCCCCGGAUUGAUCGAACCCUAUUUGCCAAUACUACAUUCUGAUAAAAAAAGGUUUUUAAAUUGUGCGCCCGGUAACGAGCACGUCAACUUCCAAACUAAAGGUCUACACCAACUUUAAACAACAAACAGAAGAGACCAUCUAUACCCAGGCAUACUCCAAACACCCUCACCAUCAACAGGAGUUGCCAGUUGCAUGCUAGAGGAUAGUUCCAUUAACAGAGCUGUGCUGCUGACCAAGAAGAAAUGGCUUGUAAAAAGCAUGGGUUUGUGCAAUCUCAAUACGCUCCCGAGGGUCAUCCAUUGUUUCAUCCCUUAAAGCUUCAAGAAUAGCCUGCGGUGGGAACUCCCUAUUCACACAAUCAUACAGAAUCACAGUUCUUAUGCUAGUCAACAUCACCAUAGAGAACUAUAUUUGUGUUUUAAACCAACUUGCCAACUUAAUCAGCGCAAUUCACGCUACAGUACUCAAGUGGCAUUCUUUCACUUCAAAAAGAAAAAAAAAGUUUACACCUUUUUAUAAGUAUGCUAUACAGAAUCCUCAAGAUAGGACAAAGCUGAACGGGAACAAUGCGCCUAUCUUCUUCAGGAUGCUUGACACUUAAAGAAGCCUGACUAAGCAGCUCAUAAAAUGCUUUUACAGCAGAGACUCCCUGAAAGACAGAAAAGGAAUUAUCUUUCACAAAUAGUGAAUUGACUCUGUGCUAAUCUAAAUGAUUAUGAUCUUCUAAUUAAGCAAUAAGCAGCUAAUUGAUCUUACUUUUUUACAAAAAAAGUUGAUCUUUCCAGACAAAAGUAACACUAAAAAAAAUAAAAAAAUAAAAAGAAGUCACAGGAGAGAACCAAACUAGUUCUUGAAUAACCAGUGAAAUAAAACAUGAAAUUAAAAGAUGAAGAGUAGAUUUAUCAUCCAAGCUGCAAGUGAUAUCACAUUGUAGUAAUGUAUCUGGGAAACAGUUCUCCCACAACAAUGGUUAAUUAGGGUGCUGAAUAGAGGAAAAUAACAAUAGUUUGAAUCCAGAUAUAAACUUGUAUCAUCAUAUAUGAUCAUUCUACAAUUAUCCCGAGCUCUAACUUCCAACUGCAGAGUUGGAAGGCCCAACAAAAAUAAUAUGUCAGAAAGAAUACAUUUCCUCACACCCUGAACAGUUAGACAAUGCAUCUCAGUUAGUAGCUGAUUGUAAAAUAUAAAUUUUAACUUUGCAUUCCCUUGCCAUUAGAACUUCACCACUGCAAAAAAACUUUCACUUCAUUUUAUUCUAUAUACCCAAAAAUCCCACAAAACCAGUUGGCAGACUCAAAACUGGGGCUCCUGCCAAACUCUAUCAUCUUUAGGAGACUGGAAACUCUAGCAACUACCUGGGAGGUACUAUGAGGAGGUUUGAGUGUUUGACCUAGAUCACAUGGGAGUGAAACACAGGCAAGACCCCUCCUAUGACCCCUAUCUGGCAUGCUUACCAUAUUGUUCUAUGUUCCCAAUCCGAAGCCAUGAUGUCUUGAAACAAGUAAUAUGAUUCCCUUCUAUUAAUUUGUAAGUAUUCAGUACCCUUCCUCAUCUCUCCCUUUUUAAACUCCAUUGGGAUAGCCAAUCACUUCAAGUUCAGUUCUAAACAAACUAUGCUUGUUUCUUUGUCUCUAUUUAACAUGAUUGAGAUCCAUACCUGAAUCAUACCCCUCCCCUUGAUGCUGUCACCCAUUUCAAGGUUUAACUCCCCCUUGGCCAGCUUUUGUCCAUACCAUGCAUUACGACCUUUCAACAAGGUUACAUACGUGUCAGCCAAUAAAGGUCCUGCAAGUUUCUCUGGUUCUUCUGCCAAUAAAUGAGUGAUAAAUAUCAUCUCUGAUGUACAAUGUGCAAAGUAUACAGAUUUGCUGGUGGCGCUCUCAUUGGUUAACCCAGCUACCAUUCCUGUUGGAUAAUAGUUCAAAAUUUUGAUUAAGCCUCUCAAAAUACAUUCAAACGAUACAACAAUGAUCAAAUUAUUAAGGUUCCAAAAACAAACAAAGAUAACACAGGAUUAGCAACAAAGAAACAUCCUGAUAUAACAUACAGUACAAAAACACAAGGUCAUAGGAUGAUGAUUGAUACAUAACAACCUUCCAGCUGACAUGAGAUGACCAGUUAAAGCAGGAAAUUAACAAUAAAUCUAGGUUUCACCUGCAAAGGAUGUUUAGCAGGAAAUAUCGGAUAGUCUUGAGUCUUGACCCAAUUAACUGGACAAUAUACAUGAAUCUUUUCCUUAUAACAGCUUCAAGUGUCCAAUUUUGUAUAUUUAUGUGUUCUCAUAAAGGAAAAAGUUGGGUUCUUGGUAAACACUCAGUAGCUAGGAAUAUACGGUAUUACUCUCAACUGUUUGCAAUCCCUUUGUCACAUACAUGUAAUCCUUUUCCAGUUUUCGCAUCUAAGACAGUUACUGCAGUAUGUUAAUUGCACGGCAAGAAAGGUGAAUCUAAACUGAGAACAUUAAGAGAUGAAACUUCUAAUGACAAAAUAUAGAAUUUACCUAAAAUACCAUUUGUAUAACUUUUUUUCCUCUUCUAAGUUUUUACCAAUGUUCUUUUCUUUUCUUUUUAGAAGAAUUUUAUUUUUUUUUUUUUACUUAUCUUCAGGUUGUGCUAAGCUAUGAGACUGAAUCUUACCAGCUCCAAUCGCAUAGACAUUCUUUAAGCCACCCAUAACUUCAUGAGUAACAAGGUCACCAUUGUCCCACACAAUGAAGUGUGGCUGCCUUAAAAACUUGGCCAUUGGCUUUGUCCACUUUUCAGCUCCACAUAACCGAGCAUUAGCGUAUUCGUUGUUGUAUAUCUCUGAGGCAAUGUUGGGUCCUCCAAGGUAGAGAAUGUUUUCAACAGGAGCACCAGCUGAAAAUACCAUACAUAUUCGACAGAGAUUAGAUAAUCCUCGACCAAAGAGAAUUGCUAAAACUAAACAUUCAAGCAACAAAAUGGGAAUCAGCCUUACUUGCUCGCUGGAUCAUCUGAGUGGGAGUAACAAUGCGCGGUUCAGGCACCAAUUCAGCUUCCACACCUUUCGAAAGAGAAAUUAUGAUCGGCAUUGUCUUCCUAUCUCUCCAAUACCGACUAAUUUCCUCAAACACCACACUCGUCUCAGUUGAUGGCAGCCCAUUCACCACAAUGUCAGCAUCCCACACAGCCUCCUGCAAAUUGGUGACAACCUUCAAAGGGCAAAGAGGAGUGUCAAUCAUAUUCAGACAGAACCCAUCUCUCAAUAUCUCAUCCGCAAACAGUAUCCGGUCCCCUAAUCUUGCCUCGACAUAUUUCAAGUAAGCACAGCGCCUGAUCAGCCUCCUCAACACAUCUUCUCGUGAAUUGAUGACUUCAAACAAAUGCUCAGCUGUGGCUCUAUCCACAGGCCUUCCGGAUCUUCUCCAUAUUCUCACCACGGCCUUCUCCCUUAAGUGUCCAUAACUAUCUUGCAACAUUGCAACAAACACACUCCCCCAAGCUCCAGCCCCUACGCCAACUAUCCUGACCGGAUCACCUUCCGCUUUGCCCAUUAAACGCCGAAGCUCGUCCAGCUUCUCCUCAACAGUAACAUUUGAGUGCUUGACUAACCAGUCGGGUGAGUACUUGACUCCUUCAGCCGUAGCACCCAUCUUCCUCGCUUUCUUUUUCUCCUCACAGCUUUACAAACCAAUCAAACUUUUGAACUCAACUCUUUCUCUUACCCAAUUUCCGGCUACGUGAGACAUCAACGAGUUGGGGACCGAUCAAUACAAGAAGUCGAAAGUUACCCAACAGCUAAGAGCUUCAAAGCGUGAAGCAUUGAAUGUGUAGGCAGAGUGGGUCGCCAGAAGAGGGAAAAUGAAGGAGACCUUGGAAAGAAUCGAAAAUGGGAAACGACAAGUUGGUAGUUGGAAGUUGCUGGCUGUUUAAAUGCGUGGGGGAAGCACAAAUUUGUAGUUGAUGUUGUUGCCAGUUGUCUCAUCUUACGACUUCACGGAUGUGAAACCAGUUUUAACCGCUGAGAGGGCGGAGAUCCCAGUGGGACGACUCUCUGUUUUUAUUGGGGGGAGAGGUGACGAUUUUGGUCUUUAUACGGUAUUACUAUUUCUUAGUGUUCAGUGUUCAUACGGUUAUUCGGUGACCUAUAAUUUUGGACCAGUCGAGGGUUUAUACAACAGUUACAAAACAAAACCGCGAUGAACGCACGCUUCUUUUCGGCUGAUUCAAGUAGAACGUUGGGAGCACAAUAAAAGGGAUACAGUUUAAACCAGAUCGAAUGAGAAGGGUGGGAUUGAGCGAAAUCAGCGAGACAGUCUGUUACAAAUUUAGUCUCAUAAAAAAUACGACGAAACAUAAUAGAGUCGAACUAUAAAGCAAACUUAAGGAUCUCUAAAACUAGUAUUUUAAUCUGCCAAGGAACACUUCUCUUUUAGUGUAUGCAAUCUAUGAGAAGGUUUGAGUCUCCUUCAACAACACGCUUGAAGUGAUUAAAAAGAACUUAAAAGUACUGGAACAUGCAACAUGGAUUGAAAUAGUCCUCAGUAAACUGGUAGAAAAUUGAAACAAGAACACACAAUAUUUGUAAAGCGAAGGGAGGACAUUCAGAAUGGAGUGCCUCCGCACUUUUCGAAGGGAGCUUGAUUUGCGAAACCUAGGUUUCGGCUAGCGGCUCCGACUCUCUUCUUUCGGGCAAGACAACGGUGACCGUGCUUUGGUUCAUGACGGCUGCAUGGGGGAAAACCUCGACGUUGAUAGUGCUCGAGGUGGGAUCUGUGGAGUCUCCUCAACCCAGGUUGGUUUGGAUUGCUGGAUGACGAGAUUGCUGAAUCUGUUGGUGAUUCGAUGGUGAGGAAGAGCUGCGAGGCUGGCGGCAGUCUAGGUGUCUCGGCAACCAGACGGUCGUUUGACUUCCAAUCUAGAUUCGCACUGGUGCUCCGGGCUCUAAUCAGUUCAGUUGGCCUUAAGUCAGAUCUCGAUUGGGGGUUGCAGGUGCCGACUUGGAAGGCGUCACUGUUCAGAUUGGGAGGCGGUGAACUAGUCGGGAGGCCGCCUAACACUGGACUGGUCGGAGGAUCUACUAUGGUGCCAGUGAUCGGAGCAAACAUGUUGUGGUGCCGGUCACUGUUUUGGAUCUGUUUUGGGUCUGGGUGACCCAUUUGAGUUGGAUGGAGCUGCUGAUGGGAAUGAGGUGCCUUUAGCGGUUGGGCCUGGGCUCUUUUUGGGCCUAGGCUCAUGCUUUUAAGCUUUUGUUUGUUAUUUCUUAGAAUAAAUGCCUAGAUUCUAUGCUUCCCAUAGAUUAUAGGUUUUCUUAUUUCCUUUUUCCCUAGAGCAAUUGUCCAUAGUCAGAAGUUCAUUGUCUUUGCGACUAUAUAUAGGUAUGAAGAUGAAUGAGCGAGAAAUGUGUAAUGAUGAGGGUGCUAUUCUAUGUGAAUCAUUUGAUCUUAUUUGUCCUUUGUACGUAAGACUACAUCGAUUUAUGAUGUAUCAUUUACUUUCAAUGAAUGGAAUUCUUUGAGUUCAAAAGAACACACAAUAUUUUGAUGUUAUGUAAAAUCCUCAAAUAAGGCAAAAACACAAUAGGGCACAAACCCCAGAAAAUUGAACUCCACUAGACGAACUUGAAUAGAAUCUUACAACCACGAUUGUAACCAACAACUAUCACAAAUUCUCAACAAUCUAGUUCUUCAAUUUUCUCUCGAUUUUCAAGGAACUGGCCGCGUCCUUGAGACUUCCCAGUCACUCUCUACUGGCGUUGAGAGAAUGAUAACCAAUCACACUUUGAGUUUACUUUGACAAGGAAUGAUAAACGCAUUUUAUGCUAUAAUAUUAAUGUAUUUCUGACCCUACUUAGCUUCUUUAUGUCCUAAAUAACAUCAUUUCUAGCUUGUUUAUGUGUUGUAGGUCGAAAGAGGCAGUUUUACACAAAAGAAGGCUAAAACGCAAGAAUUGAGAGAAAUCCUAAUUAAAGGAGGAUUCCUAGUUAAAGAAGGCUAAAUUUCUUGUUGGCUAAAACAUUUUCAACAUCACUUCUUCCACCAAAAAUUCAGAAACGUUUGGUCUCUUCUAUUCUCUAAUACGUUUGCCCUUUGUACGCAACGUUUUACUUUCUUACUAAGUUGCUACGUAAUUAAUAUAGGCAAAAGUAUUGGUUCUGUUUCUGCCAACAAUAGUGGCUAGCCCCAAGUACUUUUUGUGUUUGUCAACAAACCCACACCAAGCACCUCAGCUAAAAAUUGACAACCUUGCUAAAGACAAUAUUGCUCUUAUUGAAAUUAACUUGUUGACUAGAAGUUGUUCCAUAUUCAGAUAACACAGAUUGAAUAACAACAUACUUUGAAAUUGAAGCCUUACCAAAUAGUAAGCUAUGAUCAACAAACAAGAGAAGACUAAUAAUUGGAGCACCCUCACAAAUUUUACUCCUUGAACCAAACCAUCAUCAACUUUUUGGUCCAUUUCGAAGCACAGAAAACACCUCCGUACACAAUAAGAAUAGAUAGGGUGCAAGAGGAUCACCUUGCCGAAGGUCUUAGAUGGAAUCAGUGAACCACAAGGCUUACCAGUUUUCAGAAAAGAAUAACGGACAAUGCUCACACAUUGCAUGAUGGUCCGAACCCACCUCGUAUCAAACCCGAGUCCCAACAACACUGCUUCAAGAAAAAUCCACUCCAUACGAUCAUACACCUUACUCAUAUCAAGUUUCAAUGACAUUACACCAUCUAAACCAUCAGAGUAUAUUGAGAAACAUCAUUAGCAAUGAGCGAAUUGUUUGUAUUCAAUAUGCCCGGAAUGAAUCCACUCUAACAAGGACUGAUAAUAUCUGACAAAAAUCUCUUCAAACGGUUAGCUAUAACCUUCGAACAAAUUAUAUAGAAAACAAACUUUAGUGGGAUACAUUUGGAAUAGAGAUAUUGUAAUUAGUAAACUACAGUUUAGUUUUUAAUCAAAUUUCAACUUACAAAUACAUCCUUUACACAAUAGUUUACACAUUUAAGGACAAAUAUUAACAAAUUAGGACAAACUAAUAUCAUCAUGCCAUCUGUUAUUACCUAUUUUACCCAAAUACCCUUCUUCCCCAUCCAUAAAAAUAGCCGAAAAAAUCAAAAAUCUCAGUUCCCAAACCUAACGUGAUCGACCAUCUCUCUUGUUUUCUCUCUUCUCUGUGACGAACAGUGUCGCCGGAGACAUUCGCCGGAGGAAUUUCGUCGUUUUGCUCACCGGAAAGCUCAGGAGAGAGUCGGAUCAAGCGUUGAUCAGUUGUGGAAUUCAAUCGUUUUGUCCAAUCAUCUCUCUUCGUCACCAUCAGUUCUCUUCUGGUUCGUAGAAGCGAUCUAUUCUUCUCUGAGAUAAUCAAAUUUUCAGGUUAGAUUCUGGCUUAUUCGUGUCCUUUUAUGCUUUAAUUUCAUGUUUGAUCGCAAUUUGAUACUUGUGUUUUGUUUUGAUCAUCUAGUUUAUAUGAUCUCUUGUGGAAUUCGUCUAGUUAUUGUUUAAUUUUGGUUCGUUUUGAAUUUUGAACUACUUUUUGGUUGAAAAUCAUAAUCGUAGCAUAGCAGUAGCAGGUUUCUAAUUAUAGGUUAGAACAGUAGCAUAGUAGCAGAGGAAGUAUCAGUAGUUUGUUUUUGUAGUUUUUGACUAUAAAGAACUAGUGGCAUAGUAGCAUAGUAGUAGCAUAGAACUAAUAGCAUAGUAGCAUACUGAAAAGAACUAGUUUAGGCUGAAUUCAUAAUAGAGCAGUAGCAUAACAGAUUUUGCGCUUAUUUAUGUACUAACACAGUAGCAUAACAGUAGCAUACUAGAAAAGAUUAGAACAGUAGCAUAACAGUAGCAUAAUCGUAGCAUAGCAGUAGCAGGUUUCUUAUUAUAGGUUAAAACAGUAGCAUAGUAGCAGAGGAAGUAUCAGUAGUUUGUUUUUGUAGUUUUUGACUAUAAAGAACUAGUGGCAUAGUAGCAUAGUAGUAGCAUAGAACUAAUAGCAUAGUAGCAUAUUGAAAAGAACUAGUUUAGGUUGAAUUCAUAAUAGAGCAGUAGCAUAACAGAUUUUGCGCUUAUGUAUGUACUAACACAGUAGCACAACAGUAGCAUACCAGAUAUGUUUAUUAACACAGUAGCAGAUAUGUUUAUUAACAGUUUUAUAACAGAUAUGUUUCAAUUUUUAUAUUAUGGAUAAAUUGUAGCAUAACAGUAGCAGGUUUUGUGCUUAUGUUAUGUAUUAACACAGUAGCAGAUACAAUAUAUUGGUAGCUUUAUUAACAGAUUUUCUAAUCAUGUUAUGUAGUAUGACAAAGCCUAUAUAUGGAAGAUUUACUUAUGGCACAGAGGCCAUUCUUUUACCAUUGUGUUCAAGCAGCACCUAUGAAGAGUUGCUUGAGAAAGUUUCCUCAAGAUUUCAGUAUCUUGGUGGUCGAUUUGUUUUUAGAUAUGCACUCACUGAUUGUUCCAACUGUCAUUUAGAAUGUGAUGAUGACAUUUCUGUCAUGUUGGAUAUCUUUCCUAUGCUGAACUCUUCCUUCAUAGAUAUACAUGUUCUGGAUAUUUGAUGUGGCUCUAAGAACUGUAUUGAUGAGGAAAUUCAUGUUGUUGUGAUGCCUGCUACUACUGUACCUAAUGCUUCUGAGGAUGUCCCUCUACAUGUUGCUAAAGCUAAUCUGAGUAGUGAUGAUUCAAACUACGAGGAUGUUGAUAAUAUGGUCAUUGGAAAUUUUGUUAGUAACAAGUCCAAGAGGAAGUAUAUGUCUAGUGAAUGGAGCAAGUAUAUCAACAAAAUUGGUCAAGUUUUUGUUGGUGGUGCCAUAGAAUUUCGUCAGAAGUUGUGCAAGUUUGCAAUAGAGAAGGGUUUUCUAUUUGAUUAUGCCAAAAACGACAGCUUAAGGGUCAGUGCUACUUGUUCGAAAAAGGAAUCUAAGAAGUGUGAAUGGUACAAUAUUUAUGCUUCCAUAGAAAAGGCUAGCGGCUUCUUUGUUAUUAGAAAGUUGGUGAAUACUCAUUCUUGUCUUGGUAUCAUGAGGCAUGAAAAGCAUAAGAAGCUAGGAUCUAAAGUGAUUUCCAGUAUCAUUGUUGAUAAAGUGAAAUCUGAUCCUUUGAUUAAGCCGACAAAUAUUGUUAAGAAUUUUAAGGAAGAAUAUGGUUUGGUCAUUCCAUAUUACAUGGCAUAUAGGGGCAAGGAUUCUGCUUAAUGAUCUUGUCAAUGGUAGUGAAGCUCUUGGGUAUGCUCUAUUGCCUUGGUACAUUGAUGCAUUGAAGAGUAAGUAACCCUGAUUCAUACUGCAUUCUUGACUCUAUUGAAGGUCGUUUUCGACGAUUGUUCAUUUUUUAUGGUGCUUGCCUAAAGGGUUUCCAAUAUUGUCAACCGAUGCUAUUUCUAGACGGGACUUUUAUUAAAAACAAGUACAAGGGUGUCAUGUUAAGUGCUUGUGCCAAAACAGGGAAUAAAGGUAUGCAAAUUUUUUCUGAAGUUUACUUUUGUUAUUUCGAUUUUGUCUAGGUAGUAGCAGCAUUGGUAUACCAUGAUUCAUUGUGAUUUUUUAUUGUAAAUUUAUGUGACUUCAUAGUAGCAGCCUUUUUUCUUGUGAUUUUCACCCGAUUAUGUUCUACAUGUUGUUCCUACAGUCUAGUUGUAUAUCUUUAUGCCAGUAGCAGUAUCAUUUUAUAGCAGAAGCUGUUGUUAAUUUUGAUCAUAUUUGUUAUCUUAUUUAUAUCCUGUUUUUGUUUUUGAUAUUUCAGAAAUAUUCCAAUUUGCCUUUGCGGUUGUUGAUGCUGAAACCAAAGAGAAUUGGAACUGGUUUCUGGAGCAUUUAGCAAUCAUUCUGAUGACUGACCAUCGCAGUAUUGUGUUCAUGUCAGACCGUGGACGUGGUCUUUUGGAUGGUGUGAAAGAGGUUUUUCCAAAUGCGCCCCACUCUUUCUGUAUUAAGCAUUUGAAGGACAACUUGAAUGGCAGGUAUCCAAGUUCUUUUGGUUCUACUUAUAAGAAACACAUUGUCAAAUUGUUUCAGAAAUGUGCAUAUGCUAGGACUGUGGACAUCUUUAAUAGAAAAAAUGGAAGAGUUCAAGAAAGAAAGUCGUAAUCAGGGUGAGUCCUUUCUUGAAAAGUUGGCACCAGAAAACUAUGCUAUUGCUUGUUUCGCUGCCAAAAGAUAUGGCGAAAUGAGUAACUCUUUGGCAGAGAGCAACAAUAAGAUGCUCAUUGAUGAGAGAUGCAUGCCGCUGCCCUAGUUACUUGAAGGCAUUCGUGUCAAGACUAUGAAUAAGUUUCAUGAAAGGAAGGCCAAAUCUUCUACUUGGAGGUCUGUGUUGUGUCCUAAGCUUGAGAAAAAGCUGUCGAAAAGGUUGGAAACUGGGAGAAACUAGAGAGUCAGUCAGUCUAGCGUUGAUGUUUUUGAAGUGUGCACAGAGGAUAGCAAUGACGUGGUGAACUUGGCUGAGAUGGAGUAUUCUUGUGGUUGGUGGCAGUUUCGGUGCUUCCCUUGUUCUCAUGCAGUUCAAGUGAUGUAGAAGGCAAAUCGCCUACCUUACCAUUACAUUGAAGAUUACUGGAAGACUUCAUUUUAUAGAAGUGCACAUGACCAAGCUAUUAUUCCAGUCCCGGAUCGUGAUAAGCCUAAUCCUAGCAGUUUUGGUGAUUCUGCUUUGCAGCCUCCCAUUACUCGAAAACCUCCUAGAAGACCAAAGACAAGGAGGAUCAGGUCUUUUGGUGAAGAGGCCAGACCAAUGCAAUGCCAACGCUGUCAUCAACUUGGCCACCACAACAGCAGGUCAUGCACUGCAACUAUAUGAGCAGUGGCAUAUGUAGCUAGGGAAACCGAUUAUGUUAGGAAAAAAUUGGUCAUGGAUCAAUGUUUUUAAGUAGUAGCACAUUUUGACAGUAGCAAAUUUGACUUUAGUAGAUGUUAUUGCUUUGCUGUAGCAAAUUACAGAUUUUUAGAUUUUACAGGAAAAUGUUUGAAUUUCAGCUACUUGAUAUUCUUUGCUAGCAGCUAUAUCGUACUUCUAUUUUUUAAUUUUUUUUCUUUUUGAGGUCAGUAGCAGGGUAUUCGCGGUGCAGCGGCACGCUGCUUUACUCAUGUACUAUUUUUCAUGAAUUUAGUUUGAUUUUGCCUCUUAUUUUUUGUGCCAAAUCCCCUUGCUUUUUCAUAGAAAGAGGCUGUGCACAGUUAGCGAGUCUUUGGCUCUCCUGAGAAUGAUUACCAAUUACCAAUUUAGCAAAGUAGUUUUUUGGCUUUAUUUUUGUAAUGCAUAUUGCCUCUAAAACCUAUCAGCAAAACUUUCAGCAACCAAACACAACAUUAAUGCCUGUUAUUUGCACAAAACAUUCAAUUAUGAUAUACCAAGAGCUACAUGACCCAAGCCAACCUGUACAAACUCCCAACUCAGUAGCAUAGUAGCAUACUGAAAAGAACUAGUUCAAGUUGAAUUCAUAAUAAACUGUAUCAGAGCAGUAGCAUGUUUUUACAGUUCAUCCAAACAAGGUUAUGAAGCAAUGCUUAAACAAAAACCUAGACCGCUAUCUAUCCUAAUGCAGUAGCAGCAUUUUCAUUUUCCAUUCCUUGGUUUUUUCGAGAGUCUCUGCACCUCGUAAUCUUCCAUUUUCUUCUCUUUUCGGUCCCUCCUUCCUUUGAUCCUCUUGACUAUUGAACGCGUCCUUGGGGAAGUAGCAGGUUGAGCUUCAUUUUCAACUUUGCCCUUUUCUGUGGCCUUUGCUGUGGCAGUUUCAGCUACUUUGUCAUCUUUUGCAACUGCACCCUUCUCAGCUUCUUGUGCAGUUGCACAUUCAGAGCAAGAACCACAUUUGGAACGACAAAUUUCCUUCUAAGCAAGAAAAUUGCAUAUUCAUUAGACAAAUCAAACUACGUUUCAAAAUUUUAAAUUCUCAAUGAACACAUAACAACAAAGUAAAUCAAGACAAAGAAAAUCACCUCAGUAGCAACCUUAGCCACACUCUCUGCAGCUUCUACAGCGACAAUUUUUUCACUCCCAGCUCCACCUUUUUCACCCUCAGUGUCUUUCUCACUCCUAGCACCCUCUAAACCCUUUUGCAGUAGCCAUAGUUGUCUGCACUUUAUCCUUAACUUUUUAAUAUGUUCUUCCUUCUUCUUCAGCUUUGCCUUCAACUGCUUAUAUAUUUUGGUCACUUCUUCUUUUUCUUCACAUAGCUAUUCUAUGUAAUCAGAAUUCCUCUUGUAGGAGGUGUAGGUGUCUAUUGCAGACCCAUCCUGCCGGUGCUCCAUAGUGUUAACGUCUUUGUCUUCACUGCUUUGAUACUCAAUUCCGUUAUAUAUUAGGGCCUCCUUUUCCAUCUGCUUUAUCCACUGUUCAAGUUCUUCCAGAGUACACAUUUUGUUAUGUUUCAUUCUCUUCGAAAAUACCUCAGUUUCUCCAUCCCUAUCCUGAUUGAAAAACUUCUUCAGGAUUCUUUGUCUCUACGGCAUUUUGUUCAUAGAUUGCAUCCUCAAACUCAUCUACAUUUCCUUCAGCUCCUCCUCCAUUCUCAAAGUUAAUUCAACCAUUUCCUUACCCUUUCCAUCCACUUUGGCAUGUUGAUUCUCUAUCUCCUCUGUGUUUACCCAAUCUUCUAAUGCCAAGUAUUUAGGUUCCUCUUGAACUUGUUCAGCAACACCCUCUUGAACUUGUUCAGUAGCUAUCUCCAUAAUUCGGUCUGUAGCAUCCUCUUGAACUUGUUCAGCAGCACCCUCUUGAACUUGUUCGGUAGCUAUCUUCAUAAAUUGGUCGGCAACAUCUUCUUGAACCUCUUCAGCAGCAUAUCCUCUUGAACUUGUUCGGUAGCUAUCUCCAUAAAUUGGUCGGCAACAUCCUCUUGAACUUCUUCAGCAGCAUCCUCUUGAACUUCUUCAGCAGCACCCUCUUGAACUUCUUCAGCAGCACCCACUUGUACUUCUUCAGCAGCAUCCUUCUUUUUGUUUUUGUUUGAUUUCUUUGCAGUGACUUUGGCUUUCUUUUCGAUCUUGUUUCUUCUCACCGACACCUACUUUCUCUUUCUUAGCUUCCAUCUUUCUUUUCUUGGGUUGAAUCUUCAACUGAGGGUCCUCGAAGUCAUCAUCACUGUUUUCUAUGGCUGCAUAAAUGUUUCUUCUUUUUUCUACAACUGCAUUAUCAAUCUGCAAUUCAAUUUAGUCAGUAAGAUAUUGUACAGAUGCUUAAAAACAUUUACAGCAACAUAUUCUUACUUCUAUUUCAUCAACUUUCAUUUUCUCUAGAUUUUUCCGUGAAUUCUGGUAGAUUCCAUUUUGCGCACCCUGGCAUCAUUUCUUCUCUGCCGUCAAUCUCUAUAAGCAAUGCACUUCU